RNAcentral lists this long non-coding RNA (63227 nucleotides) under Triticum aestivum (bread wheat). RNAcentral's name for it is "long non-coding RNA (TAES_LNC018677)". The stretch from base 11486 to 11600 matches the Rfam family "MIR1120/MIR1122 microRNA precursor family". The record is from RNAcentral. Lineage: Eukaryota; Viridiplantae; Streptophyta; Magnoliopsida; Poales; Poaceae.
UUGAUGUAGUAUUAAUUGGACCUUUUUCUCUGCAUGAUCAUCGGUAUAUGCGUAGCUUCGGUAUAAUAGAUGUUGGUGAAAUCGUCUAUGUAUGCAUGCACUCAUGUUGUAUUUGGCGUUAAGCAUUUCAUUGUGCUGGCAACAAUUGGCGUAUCAAUGUUGCAUGGAAUAACCAGUCCAUCAGGGAUGAGUUGAGGCCCUCCUUAAUUUUGAUGUCUUGGUUCACUUGGGAGUCAAAAAUCGCCAUUUGCUUAUGGAACAGACCCACACGCUGCGCACUUGUAUGAGCGAGAAAGGCCUUCAUGACUAGUCACUUUAGCGCACAUGCUGACAUGCAUGUAGCUUUCUAGAAGACAUGCAUAAAGUGAGCAGCAUGAAAAUACCCUUUGGCUCCCGCAUGUAUACACACUAUAUAUGAUGAUUUUUUUUAAUAAUUAAACAAAAAGUCAAAAUAGCUCAAAAGUAUUUUUAGAUUAAACUUGACUUACUUGCACACUAGUAUAUAAAUUUUCACAAAAAAAAACAAUGUUGACUUUGCAGAGAAAAAGAUAAAAUAUAUUUGCUAUUAUAGGUCACUAUUCAUGCUAUUUUGACCGAAAAUUUGUCUUUUUUUGAAAAGAAGUCGAAGAGAAAUUUUCUUUUUGUGAAACUUUUCACACUAGUACAAUGAAAAGUCAAGUUUAUUUCAAAAAUAUUUUUAGAAAAUUUUGACUUUUUAUUGAAUUGCUAUUUUUUUUCCCAUAUAGAGUACAUAUGUACUCAGGAAUCAAACUUCCCCUCCGUGAGCAGCAGGGCAAAUCAGCAAUGGCAGGCUACGUGCAUGUUCGGGCUUGCAAAAUGGACAAAUGGUCCGCGGUAACAUGCUAAUGUACAUAGGUCAUCUUCGUCUUGGGCUUCUUCUUUCCAUCUUGUGUUUCUUUUGCGACACAAAAUUAAACAACUAACUGUGGCUUCCAAACUUAUGAGUAUUCGGCGGUGAAUUACGGGCUAUUGCAUCCCAAUUUGCAGGCUAGGAGUAAGCUUUCUCGGAGAUCUUCAGCCCCUGCCGAGACGGCAUCAGCAUUUCAGCAACCUGCUCGAGUCUUGCCGUGUCUACGCCUAUGAAAUCACUCUAUGAUCUCUGACAAUAACUCCACAACCACCUGAAAAGAGUUCAUCUGAAAAGGCUGCAUCAACGUUCGGAAUUUUAUGGCCAGGGGUGUGGCUUCUUCUAGUUUUUCAGACGUGAGAUGGGCUUCAUGUUUAGCUGCUCCCAUUCCCCGUUAGGUGUACAAACUAAAUAACAGAGGUCUUCACUGAUAACCGUUGGUUAGCUGAAUAGUUUGACACGAGUAGUACUCCCUCUGUCCCUAAGUGUCUCAACUUUAUAUUAAAUUUGUGUCAUACAGAAAACUAUUGUGUAUGUAGUAAAAAAGCCUUUCGCCCCGCUUUAUAUAUAAAGCAACAUCCUCAACAACCCGGUACAAACACCCGCCAACACUACACACGUACACAUGAAAGGCAGAAUACAUACGCGCUGAGCACAACAACAACACCCCUAGCGCUACAAGAGCAACCGGGGUCCUCAAGCAUGAACACGCCACCGGGAAGAUAUGAAGCAGCAUGCGACAAACCGUAGGCUCCAAGGCGACGCCUCCAGGAAGGAUACGACACCGGGGCGCCGCCACCGCCCGACCCGACGAUCAGAAUUUGCUCUGGAGCAAUACAACAGGCAAUGAUAGCCGCAACGAUGCCUUCAAGAAGGGAACGAGCUUCCGAACGCCACACCCCGGCGACCACGUGGCCCACACGGCCAUGACCAUCGGGCAGCACCUAACCACGGGCUCUGCUAAUGAGCACCGCGGAACCACCACCAGGGCUGCCGCCCCGACAUCCAAGACCUUGACACCACCUCACUCGAGACCCGCCGCUACCCAACCAAAGAUACGAGCGGAAAGGAGCCUUUCGCACCCUUGGGCUGCCCUAAAGCUGAAACCCAAUAGACCGGCCAAAACUGGUCUCCAUCUACCCGUCAUGUGGCACCGGAUGCGAGACGCGGUCAGUCCUGCUGUUGGGCGCAAGACGAGGUCGAUCCUGCUGUCGGGCGUGAGACGAGCGAUGGAACGUAGCCAGGGGAGGGUCGAACCUUCAACGACGAUAGCGACCAGACGACGAGGACAGGGACUGUAGGUCAAAAUGGACUGCCUACAAAUGAGCCAACGCCAGAAAACCAGUUGUCGCCGCAGCCAACCCGCCGAACUGCCAUGAUAUCGGCUCAGUGAAUGGAAGCCGCCACGCCCAGUGGGCUGAGUCACCUCGCUGCUGCCGCCCACAGUCGGAGCAGCCUCCACGCCGGGCCGCUACCCCAACCAAUGUCGCCCACCGAAAAAAUGCAUCAGAUUCGGAUGGCACACACCCACUACCACCAGCCCCAGCCAACCUCCAGCCCCCGACCGAAACCAGAGGAGAGGAAGGGGGAUACCCACACCGCUACGCCGCCACCUCCGCCAGUAGAUCACCACCGCGAGGACGACCGCCCGCAGCCCGCACCCACCGCGUCUGGGUCUGGUAGCCCGCCUUCACCACACCGGUCGUGCAUCACCAGGGCAUGGCCCGUCAUGCUGUCACCGCACCCGCGCGCCACCACCAGCGCCGAUGCGACGCCAUAGGGUGGAGCCCCACAGAAACACCACCACCAGGUCGUGGGCCGUCGGACCGCGCCGGCCACCUUGCACGAAGAGACGAGAGGGGCCCUGUCGCCGGCGGCGGCGAGCGAAGAGGAGGCAGGAGGAGGGGGCGUUGGCGUAAGCGGUGCGGUCGCCCUCCCCGUUGCCCGCGGGAGGGGAUAAGGUUCCACCGUGGUGGCCUGCCGCCACCAAAUCUGCUCUUUCUGUCAACACUGGUUCACUGUGUAUGUAGACCCAGUUCUUUUGCCAGAUUCUUCUAGAAUCUGGCCCCUACCCAUUUAUUUUACAAUUCUAUCUAGUUAGGGUCUAAUUAGGUAGGAUUGUAAAAUAAAAGAGGGUCAAAGAUUCUAGGAUAAGCCAGAGAGGGGCAGAUCUGCAAAAGAGCUGGGCCGUAAGCUCAUGCUCUGCGUUUGUGGGCCUUCGGCGACUAAUGAGUUGCUACAUGUGCCAUUGGCUUCAUAUGGACCAUGCAAAUUUCAAAAGACCAAACCAAAGUGAACUCUCUGCUGUAUGCAUCAUUUCUACUUGAACAUCUGUAGCCAUCUGCAGAAAAGUAAACUACGCCUCUAACUGUACACUACUACCGCAAAUGGAAUGGACUGGCCUAUGAUUUUUUUUGAGAAUUACUGGGCUAAGAGCCGGAUCCCCUGACGUACGGCCACCUGACGUUGGGCCACUGACGCGUGGGUCCGGGUCCACACGUCAGCGAGUGCGCCGUACGUCAGAGGAGCUGCGUCCGGGUGGGUGGUAGCUGGCAAUGGCAGCAGUAAUGAGCAAGGCAGGCGGGAGCUAAAACGAGCUGAGAGCACCUUCAGCCGGACAUGGUUAAUCCGACCUCUCAAACGCCCGUGCGUCGUCCGCGGACGCGCCCGGACGCGUUCGCGGACAGUGAACGGUCAUACCUCAAAAAAUGCAUUUCACAUUCGGAUAUCUUAAAUUAGAAAUCUUAAAUUCAUAUUAUUAAAUGCAACGUGAAACCUAAAGCGGAGCUCUCCCCGUUCCGCUCUCCGCUCGCCCGGCUAUGCCCCGGCCAUGUCCGAUGGCCGGCUGUGCUCCUCAGAGUUUUGGUUCGGUCGCCGACAAGGUAGAGUAGGGCAUGUAACACAAGCCGGCUCACGGGACUCAAGGCGCCGCCGGGUCCCAUGCCCAACUCUUGGUCGUUGGAGCCCGGGAACCAGAAAGGUGUCGGUGGAUGUCAGAUCGAUGACAUAUUCGUCCUAGGAUGAGUCGCGGACGUCGAGGACGAUGUGGUUGCGGCGCCCGGACUGAUGCGCCAUACAGUGCGCCGGAGAAUGCGACUCCGUCUCACCGACGUCCACCGCCGUGAGGGCUGCUGCCGUCUCCCACGUCCGGUGCCUUGCACGGGGGGCACGUCGUGCCAUGGCCUCGUCGGACGAGGCCCAUCGUGUGUGCCCAUGCUCGGCGCGUCAACGGAGGCGUUGCGCGGCCGCCAGCGCGUUCGGACGCCAGAAGGACCGCACGGCCUCCGGCGAGGCAGUUACAGCUGGCCUAGCGCUUGAUCCAUGCGUCAUUUGGGCGGACGCAAUGGAUUUCCAACGGAAGGAGUCCGAGCGCGGCCAUGCACGGGCCUCUUUCCGGGCGCGAUGGAGCAUAAGCUGGACGUCCAUCUCCUCUUUGGGGCAGCGUGGGAUGAGCUCGGGGGUCGACGGAUCUGAAGGUGAAGGACUUGGAUCCGCUGCCCACCAUGCCGGAGACGGCUGGAAGAAGCCCGAGACGAGCUUGGGUGACGGAGGAGAGUGGAGGGAAGGGGAGUGAAAUGGCUGUCCGGCGAGCGGAUGGGGAGAAAUUUAUGUGGGGUUAGAUGGAUCAGCGCGUGACCCAUGCCCAACAUGGCGGGCUUGCCGGGGCGCAUCCGGGCGCCCCUUAUCCGUCCAGUAUUUCGGCUUGAUAUGAGGGAUGGCAUUCAGUCCGGGCGUUUGGGGGCUGUUUGAGUGGCCACUUGGGCUAAAAAAUCAUGACAGAAUAGUGAACGAGCCGCUUGAGUAUAAAGCGGGUUUGAGGCGCCCAGCUGUAGAGGCUUAAGCUAGCCUUUUACGCGCUGCCCGGGUGCAACACCCCCGUGCUUUCCUGUGUCCCUGCAACGUCGCUGCCAUGAGACGAUAUCACAUGCCGCCGCACCGGACUCUAGACCGCGGAAACUGCUCGACACGUCGCGUCGUGGGUGUUGGGCGUCUCAUCGCAGGCUCGCCACAGCGUUGCUCGACUCGGUAAAGGGGAGGAGCACACCAAGUCUCUAGACGAGAAACAAGAAUUCCUUACUGUGCAACUCCAGUCUGGGCAGCGCGGGCCGACGCGAGCGUCUCACCAAGGUUCCACGAAGCGUUGCUCGGUAUAUGUGGGAGGGGCACACCAAGCUUGCAAGCAAACAGGAAGCGCCGACCAGUUGACGCACGGUGAGUGAAUUCCAUCUUCAUCUUGGUCUUUGUAAGACAAUAGGCUUUGGGGGGAACCGGCACAACCCUCUAGGGGUGGCCUAUCACACACACACACAUAUAUAUAUAUAUAUAUAUAUAUAUAUAUAUAUAAUAAGGUGGUAUACAACGUUACAAUAUACACAUGUAAAUACAGUCUAACACCCUCCCUCAAUCUUAGCCACUUUCUAAUGAAUCUAGAAGGGUAAGAUUGCGCCUGCAAGUCUCAAACUGUGGCAAAGACAAUGGCUUGGUGAAGAUGUCAGCAAGUUGAUCCUUGGAAGAAAUAAACUUGAUCUGUAGUUGCUUCUGAGAGACACGUUCACGCACAAAGUGAUAGUCAACUUCAAUGUGUUUCGUUCGGGCAUGGAAUACCGAAUUUGCAGAAAAGUAUGUAGCACCGAUGUUAUCACACCAAAGAACAGGAGGCUGUGUAUGGGGUAUACUUAACUCCUGAAGCAAGGACUGUACCCAGAUGAUCUCUGAUGUGGCAUUGGCCACAGCCUUAUACUCAGUCUCAGUACUGCUACGUGAGACAGUAGCCUGUUUCCGAGCACUCCAGACAAUCAGGUUAGAGCCAAAGAAGACAGCAUAACCCCCCGUGGAUCGCCUGUCAUCCGGAUUGCCAGCCCAGUCUGCAUCAGAAUAUGCUGAAAGACAACCAGAGUCAGACGGCCGAAUAUGCAAACCAUGAGCCACCGUGAAACGAAUAUAGCACAAAAUCCGCUUAACAGCAGACCAAUGAGUGUCACGGGGUGACUGCAGAUACUGGCAGACUCGGUUAACAGCAUAGGAAAUGUCUGGUCGCGUGAUCGUCAAGUACUGGAGCCCACCAACAAUACUCCUGUACUCUGUCGCAUCAGAAGAAGAAAGAAGCACACCAUCAACAUCAUUGAGCUUAUCAGUGGUAGACAUGGGUGUAGUCGUCGGUUUGCACUUAAGCAUCCCAGCUCGCUGCAACAAAUCCAGAGAGUACUUCUUCUGCGUCAUAACAAGGCCAGCAGCACGAGAAGUAACCUCCACACCAAGAAAGUAAUGAAGCUUCCCAAGGUCCUUGACCGCAAAAUCAGCACCAAGUGAGCGAACAAGCGCAGUAGCAGCCGACUGAGAGGAGCUGACCAAAAUGAUAUCAUCUACAUAGACCAACAAGUACAUAGUAACCUCAGGCCUUUGAAGAAGAAACAAUGAGGAGUCAGCAGUUGAUGAUGCAAAACCAUGAGCACGAAGAGCCAUUGCAAGACGAGCAUGCCAAGCACGAGGAGCCUGCUUCAGACCAUAAAUUGCCUUGGACAGACGACAGAGAUGAUCAGGGCGAUCCGGAUCAGAGAAACCCGGAGGCUGGCGCAUGUAAACCUCCUCCGCCAAGACACCAUGAAGAAAAGCAUUUUGAACAUCAAGCUGACGAAGAAACCAACCUCGAGUAACAGCCAGAGAGAGAAGAAGUCUGAUGGUAGUAGGCUUGACCACUGGAUUGAAGGUGUCUUCAUAGUCAAGUCCAAAACGCUGUCGAAAACCACGAGCAACCAGACGAGCCUUAUAGCGCUCAAUGGACCCAUCAGAAUGCCUCUUCACUUUGAAAACCCAUUUGGAAUCAAUGACAUUUACCCGUGAUUGUGGAGGAACAAGAGUCCAUGUCUGAUUGCGAAGAAGCGCUUGAUACUCCUGCUCCAUGGCCUCUCUCCAAUGGGGAAUGCGCAUAGCAGCUUGAUACGUGCGUGGCUCAGAGGAUGGAUCUGCGAGAGCAGCAGACAUGCACGCCGCUAACCAAGCAACUGUGCCAUCGUGACGUUGCUUAGGCUGAAAAAUGCCACUCCGACUGCGCGUAUGUGGACGUAGAGCAGCAGCAGGAGCCGGCGGAGGCGAAGGUGACGGAGACGUGACGGUCGCCGGAGAUGCAGGAAUCACCUCAGGCGAGCUCGGGACAGACGACUCCGGGCUGCAUGGCGAAGACUGGCCCGACGACAGGGGCUCAGAGGCCAUGGGCGAACCGAGAGUGGGCGAGGCCAGCUCCGGUGACACCGGCCCAGACGGCCUUGGCGAGGCGAGAGCAGGCGAGGCCGGCCCUGGUGAGAAGGGCCCAGUCACCCUGGGCGAGGCAGGGGCGGGCGAGGCCAGGCCUGGUGAUGACUGCCCCGACGCCCUGGGCGAGACGGGGACCGAGGAGGCCGGCCCAGUCGGCGGGGUUGCAGGGCGCGACGAUGGCGAAGGCAGCCCAGAAGCCAGAGGCGACCGGGCCAGGACGUUGAUCGGCCGUGCAUGAGCACGGAAAAUGAGGCCAUGCAGGGGCGCCAUGUGCUCCUCAUGCACAACAGAAGGUGCCGAGGAUGAAGGCGAUGGCGACGAAGAGGAAGAUGGCACUUCCAGAAUCUCCAAAUGAGCCCCACGACCAGUGCCUGCACCAUGGUUAGGCAACAAUAGAGGAGAAUAUGCAACAUCAUCAAAUUGGUCAGAAGCAACAGAGGAUGAAUGCAUGACAGGUGGCUCGGUAGUGGACACAGGGAGUUUGGCAAAGGGAAAAACAUGCUCAUCAAACACAACAUCCCGAGAGAUGUAGACACGAUUAGUGGGCACAUGAAGACAUUUGUAUCCUUUAUGAAGAGAGCUAUAACCAAGAAAAACACACUUCUUGGAACGAAACUCGAGCUUACGCUUGUUAUAUGGACGGAGAUGGGGCCAGCAAGCACACCCAAACACCUUGAGAAAGGUGUAGUCCGGUUGUUCAUUAAGGAGAACUUCAAUGGGAGUCUUCAUAUUCAAAACACGAGUGGGAGUACGAUUGAUGAGAAAACAUGCAGUGGUGAAAGCAUCACUCCAAAAACGAAACGGAACAGAUGCAUGGGCCAAAAGAGUCAGACCAGCUUCAACAAUGUGACGAUGCUUACGUUCUACUGAACCAUUCUGCUGAUGUGUAUGUGGACAUGCUAAACGGUGAGUGAUCCCAAGCGACUGAAAGAAGGAGUUGAGGUUGCGAUACUCGCCACCCCAGUCCGACUAAACAUGAACAAUUUUGUGCUUGAGAAGGCGUUCAACAUGUUUUUGGAACUGAACAAAAAUGUCAAACACAUCAGAUUUACGUUUGAUAAGAUAAAGCCAGGUAAAGCGGCUGUAAGCAUCAACAAAACUGAUAUAGUAAUUAUGACCACUAACAGAAGUCUGAGCAGGACCCCAUACAUCUGAAAACACAAGUUCUAAAGGAUGUUUCACCUCACGACUGGACUCCGAAAAAGGAAGUUGAUGACUCUUCCCCUGCUGACAAGCAUCACACACUGCUACAUCUUUAUUACUAGACACACUAGGAAGCUCAUGACGACGCAAAACAUGCCGGACAAUAGGUGUGGCCGGGUGACCAAGACGAGCAUGCCACUGUGACGGAGAUACCCGAACUCCACUGAAGACGCGAGCGACGCCAGGAUGCUCCAGACGAUAGAGACCUUGGCAGAGCCGCCCACUAAGAAGAAUGUCCCUCGUGCCCCGAUCCUUAAUAAAAAGAUCAAAAGGAUGAAAUUCACAAAGCACAUUAUUAUCACGAGUGAGUUUAGGAACUGAAAGAAGAUUACGUGUCACAGAUGGAACUCGAAGAACAUUGCAAAGUUGAAGACUCCUAUUGGCAUGUCUAGUGAGAAGUGAUGCUUGACCAAUAUGAGAGAUGUGCAUACCUGCUCCAUUGGCGGUGCGGAUCUUGUCGGAGCCAUGGUAGGGUUCACGAGUGUGAAGCUUCCCCAUCUCACUGGUCAGGUGCUCUGUCGCCCCAGAGUCCAUGUAUCAGUGGGGGUCAAUGGAGUAGGACUGAGUGUGUCCCUGCGGCUUCUGCGGCGGCGGACGAUCAGCCAUGGCGACCUGACGUGCAAAGUUGCGUGUAUCCUUCCCGUCAUUGCCGAGACCAAGAAAACCCCGCUGGAAGCGCUUGUGACACUUCGAGGCCCAGUGCCCAUCGCGACCACAAAGCUGGCACACACGUGGACCGCCAGCCCCUGGUAGCGUCGCAGUAGGAGGAGGGGCCGAGGCGGGUGGUGGUGACUGCCCCGAAGAAGCCCUGGAUGAAGCAGAGGAGCGACCACCCUUGGUGGCGGCGUUUGCCGAGAGGGCGCCGUUGCCCCUGGAUCGGCGCGUCUCGACUCGUUGCUCAGUAAGCAGGAGGCGUGAAAAGACCUCGUGUGCUGGCAUGGGCGUGGAGUUGCCCCUCUCAUUGAUGAUCUCGACUAGGGCGUCAUACUCCUCAUCAAGACCAUUGACAAUAAACGAGUUGAACUCGGAGUCGGUGAGGGGCUGUCCAAUGGAGGCCAGCGUGUCGGCGAGACUCUUGACUUUGUUGUAGAACUCAGUGGCGGUGGAGUCAAGCUUCUGACACUCCCCAAGUUGGCGACGGAGCCCAGAUACACGAGCCUGCGACUGUGCCGCAAACGAGCGCUCAAAAAUAGUCCAUGCCUCGUGGGACGUCUUGGCGAAGACAACAAGCCCAGCAACGGCCGGAGAGAGCGACCCCUGGAUGGAGGAGAGGUUCGCCUGAUCCUGCCCUGUCCAGACACGGUGAGCCGGAUUAUAGACCGGACCGUGCACGCUGUCAACCAGCGCGGGAGGGCAAGGGAGAGAGCCGUCGACAUAGCCAAGCAGAUAGUGACUCCCAAGAAGCGGAAGAACCUGCGCGCGCCAGAAGAUGUAAUUGUCCGACGACAACUUGAUGGUGAUGAGAUGGCCGAAGUGAAACGGCGGCGGCGGCUGCGAUCCCAUCGAGGAGACUGGCUGAGGUGAGACCACCGUGGAGACAGUCAGAGGGGCAGCCGGCGCGGUGACAGAGGGCGCGAUGGCCGCGUUUGACGCCGCGAAGCCUGCCAGCGCGACGUCCUCCGCCACCAGCGGCGCAGUGGUCGAGGGCACGACAGCCGCGGUUGACGGGGCGGCGGCGGUGUGGGCCACAAGCGCCUGCCCGGGCGAAGUAGCAGCCGGCGGGAGCGCGAAGAGGGAGCCGACGCUCCGUGUCCCGAUCGGCGCCUGAAGGGAGGCGGCAUCCAGCGGCCUCGAGAGAAGUGCCGCGAGGGAGGCCGGCAGAAAACCGGUGGCGGUGGAGCCGGACGCAGCGGCGGACGUCAUAGCAGUCGGGCGACGGCGACGGCGGGCGCCGCGGCGGCGGCGGCGUCGGCGGCGGUUUAGGGUUUUAGGCGGAAGCGGACGUAACCUAGCGUGAUACCAUGUAAGACAAUAGGCUUUGGGGGAACCGGCACAACCCUCUAGGAGUGGCCUAUCACAUAUAUAUAUAAUGAGGUGGUAUACAACGUUACAAUAUACACAUGUAAAUACAUUCUAACAGUCUUCUUCUUCCUCUGCCUUCCCUGUGCGUACCUUUCUUGCUGAUAUCUUCCGGCCAGGCUCGAUCCAUGGACUCCUCGCAGAAACACCUUGGAUCCAUGGAUGCCAAGAUGCCUCUUCUGCUGUUUGUGACCCAGGCCAAGAAGCCGAUGGCCGCUUGUCCGCUCCAGGAUGCUACCCUCCUGGCCAGCGCUUGGGCGCUCGUCACCGCAGGCCUCUUCGCCGUCUCCUACGCCUUGGGCUCCCAAGUCGUGGACGCGCUCUGCAUCCAGCAGGUAACAACGACGGCUCCUGCUUCUAGUUCAACUACCCCGGCCCUUUGCCGGCCUGAUGCUGGAUCUACCACGCGCCAAGUUCGUCUUCCUCUUCGUGCAGCUGCCGUGGUGCGAUUUCCGCGAGGAGAACGCCGUGGAACGCUCCCUCCGGAUCGGCCUGUGGUGCUGCGCCGUGCUCCAGGCGGCCACGGCGGCGCUGGCUCUGCUGCUCCCGUGCCGGCGCCACCGCCGGAUCCGCCGUGCCGUUGCCUACCUCGCCGUCGCGGUCGCCAUCGUCAGCCACUGUAUUUUGGCCAGCCUCGUCCUCCUCUCCGCCGACGCAGGACUAGGGUACCUCUUGCUCAUCCCCUUGAUCGUCUACGCCGCGGCGGCGCUGGUGCUGCUACUCCCGUGCCGUUGCCUCCGGAUCCGCCAUGCCCUCGCCUGCCUCACCGUCGCGGUGGCGGUCGCCAUCCUCGGCUGCUGUAUUUUGGCGAGCUUCGUCCCCAUCGCUGCCGACACAGGACUAGGCUGGCUCAUUCUUUCGGUCGUCGGCCCGGCGUUCAUCUUCACCCUUGCGGUGGGCGACCUCAGCUUCCUGGCCCUCCUCCGGGGAGGGGAAUUCCCCUGGGAGUUCCGCUGAGGAGUAGCUGCUGAUCGGUCAGCCGCAAGCUCAUGCCCAUCGAUCACCUCAUGAGGUACUGACGCACAUAACGAUCGACUUGCAGGGAAUAUUAAUAUUGCGGUGCACUUCAUCUGCCUAGUAUUGGACCUUAAUAAUUUGAUGCUGAAUUAGCCUAUUAUUUGUGUGAUCGAGAUAUGCUAUUGAGUAGUACUCCCUCCGUUCGAAAUUACUUGUCUCAGAAAUGGAUGUAUCUAGAACUAAAAUACAUCUAGAUACAUUCAUUUCUACGACAAGUAAUUCCGAACGGAGGGAGUAGUAUUGAUGAACAAUCUAUAUAUAUGGAGUCUUUGAUGCAGUAUUAAUUGGACCUUUUCUCUGUACGAUCAACGGUAUAUGCCUAUCUUCGGUAUAAUUGAUGUUGAUGAUCUUGUUAUGCGCCACAUUCCUUGCACCUUAACUGUGCUAAACAAAAAUAGUCGACCAUAGCAAAUUUUGUUCAUUAAGCUACAAGCAUAUGACCGACGGACUAAUUCGCUAGGGUAUUGAGUUUUCUUCUCGUUGACAACAUGUUUCAUGUGUUGAGAGCUUUGGACUUUUGAUCGGUGAACUUUGCAUGUGUUUAGAACGGAUUCCCAUUCAACUGUGAGCCUCUCACUUUGUUAAAGCAAUUAGCUCGGAUGCUCUCGUAGUAGAUUGGUUUCAUUUCUUUCCUUUCAGGGUGGUUUAAGGUGAUAUGGAUGAUGGGGGCGUCUGUGCCAAUAUUUAUCUUCCUCGCCUUUUUCUUUUCUUGGGCCUUUGGAGCACAUGAUAUGGGUCAAGCUGAACCCAGUCUCAACAAAGAUAUAAAAAGCAGUGUAGUCAAAUCUACAAUGGCAGCUAAAUACAUGUUCGGGGUUGCAAAACGGACAAGUGGUCCGCGGUAACAUACUAAUAAUAUACAUAUGUUACAUACCGGUAGAUUGGAUUUGCAUUGUGUUUCGGGUUUUGCUAGAACUCAUCUAGAUGAGAUAUAAUUUGGUCUCAUUUACCUUUUAUAGCCAUUGGAUGUGAUGCUAUAAGAUGCGUGUGUGCUGACGUGGGUUGUAUGUGUUCUUGUUUUCAAAGUGAACGAGACCAAAUUAUAUCUCAUCUAAAUGAGUUCUAGGUACUCCCUUGUGUUUCACAUAAACUAUGACUAACAUAAAACACUUGGGGAAUUUUGAAGACUUCUAAUCCUUAGGAUUUUUUUCCUAUGUGAGCUGUUUGAUUCGUAGGAUUGUAAAACAUAGAAACUUUUCCAUAGGAUUCAUUUGCACUAGAUUUUAUAAAAAAUUUUCCAUCCACUCAAACCUCUUUGAAAAAAUCCUACGUUUUUUCCUGUGCACAAUCAAACAUUCAUACAAUCAUGUAGGAUUCAAGAUGACAUGUCAUCCCAAUCCCACGUUUUUUCUAUUCCUGCGUUUUGGAAAUCCUACGAAUUAAAGAGGCCCUUGAAGUGAACCAACACAGGCAGACAGCCCCGGCCCGUGUCGCCUACCCUAGGCGACACGGGCGGCAUCCCCCACAGCACCGCCACCGGAUCCCACCCUCCCACUCCUCCCCUCGCCGCCGCCGGACCCCACCCUCCCACUCCUCCCCUCGCCGCCGCCGGAGGCCACCACUAGGCAAAGCCUGCUGUGUCAUGGCCGCGGCGGCGGGGCCUCCUCCCGAGGCCGCAACGCCUCUCCGCCCCCUCUAUCCCCAACCACCUUGUCGGGAUCCUCAGCCGCCAAACACGUCGUUGGCGCGCUCNNNNNNNNNNNNNNNNNNNNNNNNNNNNNNNNNNNNNNNNNNNNNNNNNNNNNNNNNNNNNNNNNNNNNNNNNNNNNNNNNNNNNNNNNNNNNNNNNNNNNNNNNNNNNNNNNNNNNNNNNNNNNNNNNNNNNNNNNNNNNNNNNNNNNNNNNNNNNNNNNNNNNNNNNNNNNNNNNNNNNNNNNNNNNNNNNNNNNNNNNNNNNNNNNNNNNNNNNNNNNNNNNNNNNNNNNNNNNNNNNNNNNNNNNNNNNNNNNGACCACCCCGUCGCGAUCCUCCGGCCCAACCCCCCGUCAGUGCGCGGCUUCGGCGCUCCCCAGAUGUGUGACGCCCGGAUAAUUAAGCUACAGUAAUCACGGACUAAUGGUGCCACAUCACCACGAUUACUGUUGUUAACCUUGCGAUGAUUUGAAGCCGUUUCAAAAUUCAAAUUCAAAUUAAUGUCAAUAAUAAAAGUUUUCAAAAAUUAAAAUAAAAAUGUUCGGUUUGUACUAAAUAUUGCAUAGAUAAUUAUGGUGUAGAAGACACAGUUUUAUAAAAUGCAUAAAUAUUUUAAAUUGAAUUAAAACAGAAGAGAAAUAAAUAAAAGAAAGAAAAUACAAAAGAUACAAACAAACAAACCAAAAAAAAAGGAAAAGGAACCCCCCCAUCUGGGCCUCGGCCCAGCAGGCCGACGGACCGCCAGGCCGGCCCACCCCGGUCCCCCCUUAUCCCCCCACGCGACCAAACCCUAAACAACUACCACCCCCACUCCCCUCGUUCCCCCACUCUCUCUCGCCUGAUUCCCUCCCCAUCUUCCUCGCGCCGCCACACACUCAGCGGCGAGGGCCCUCGUGCCCGAACCCCCAUCGCAACCUCUCCUCUCCAGUGCUCCCCCGCGGCUCUCCGGUGCUCCUCAGGCGGGACGCAGCUGCCAUUCGUCGACGAGGCAACCACCGCGCCGGUGGUCUUCUUCUCCCUCGUUCUGGAUCGGGCACGACCCCCCCGACGCCACGACGUCAUCGCCGUCCCCGGUCGCCGGAGCCGCCCCUCGUCUACCUCCACCUCGUCGGACGCCUCACCGACCUCCUCCCCGCCGGCGCCAUCACGCCUCACCGCCGAACUCCCCUACAACAGGGUUGAGAAUCCCAUCCCCCUGCUUCCCUCUCCCCAUCGUCCCGCACGGCCAUCGCCAUGCUCAGCGCGCUGGCCGCCCCUGUUCCCCUGUCUCGCCCGCCGUUUCGUGCCUCCGUUGCCGCUGCUCGCCCGUCCACAGGGCUGCUGCUGUGCCUGGACGUCGCGCGUCACUGCACGCCCCCUGUGCACUCCGCUGGCGCUGCCGCGCCCCUUCCCCCACUCGCUCCAUGCCUCGUGUCCGCCCCUCCCAGCGCCAGCUGGCCGCCGGCCACCCGUCGACCAGGCUCCGGCCACGGCCUCGCCCACAGUCGUGGGUGUGUGUGCGUGUGUGUGGCCGGUUGUGCCCCUGACCACCGGGGCCCAGCCUCUGGAUAAGAACGAAAAACAAAUGAACAAAAAUAAGUGUUAGUUAAAAUAUUAGUAUGUUAAUUAAUUAGUUAAUUAAGUAAAUAGCAUAAUAUAACCAAGUGACAGAUGGGCCUCACUGUUAAUUAAGCAAGUUUUCCUAAACUAAUAGAGUUAUGAGUCAAUGACAGUGGAACCCACUUGUCAGGUUGACCAGGUCAACGGUCAAUGCUGACUGGGCUGUUGACCUUGACUGGCCCCACCAGUCAGCCUCUGCUGACUGGGCAGUUGACCAAGUCAACGGGGCCUACGGGUCAGCCACACAAGUCCAUCUCUGGCUACACUUCUGCGUACCCAUAGCAAUUUAACAUUUAAUUUCUGAAUUAAAAUAAUUUAGGAAAUGAUUAAAACCUUAGAAAAAUCAUAUAAAAUAAUCCAUAGCUCGGAUCAAAAAACUUUCUACAUGAAAGUUGCUCAGAACAACGAGACGAACCCGGCAUCGCAGCCCGUUCGUCCGCUACGCAUCCCUAGCAUAGUGAACCUACAACAUUUCACCUCCGGUUCAUCUGUCCAAAAACGCGAAACACUUGGGAUACUUUCCCGGAUGUUUCCCCCCUUCGUCGGUAUCACCUACUACCGCGAUUGGGCACACCUAGCAUCGUUACUUGUCAUGUCAUGCAUCGAUAUGCAUUCGUUUGCAUUGUAUUCAUUGUUUCUUCCCCCUCUUCUCUCCGGUAGACCACGAGACCGACGCUGCUGCUGCCCAGUUCGACUACGGAGUUGACGACCCCUCCUUCUUGCCAGAGCAACCAGGCAAGCCCCCCCCUUUGAUCACCAGAUAUCGCCUAUUCUCCUCUAUACUGCUUGCAUUAGAGUAGUGUAGCAUGUUACUGCUUUCCGUUAAUCCUAUUCUGUUGCAUAGCCUGUCAUUGUUGCUACAGUCAUUGAUACCUUACCCGCAAUCCUAAAUGCUUAGUAUAGGAUGCUAGUUUAUCAUCAUUGGCCCUACAUUCUUGUCAGUCUGCCUCGCUAUACUAUUGGGCCGUGAUCACUCGGGAGGUGAUCACGGGUAUAUACUAUACAUACAUACAUACUAUACAGAUGGUGACUAAAGUCGGGUCAGCUUGAUGAGUACCCGCAAGUGAUUCUGAUGAGGGGGCUGAAAGGACAGGUGGCUCCAUCCCAGUAGAGGUGGGCCUGGGUUCCCGACGGCCCCCGACUGUUACUUUGUGGCGGAGCGACAGGGCAGGUUGAGACCACCUAGGAGACAGGUGGGCCUGGCCCUGUUUGGCGUUCGCGGAUACUUAACACGCUUAACGAGAUCUUGGUAUUUGAUCUGAGUCUGGCCAUUUGGUCUAUACGCACUAACCAUCUACGCGGGAGUAGUUAUGGGUAUCCCGACGUCGUGGUAUCAGUCGAAGCCUUCGUGACAUCAGCAACUGAGCGGCGCGCGCCGGAUUGGAACGUAAGCCUGCUCUUCUAUUAAGGGGGCUAGUUCUGCUUCCGGCCGCGUUCGCAACGUGCAGGUGUGAUAAGGGCGAUGCGCCCAGACCCUUGUGCGCUUAGGUUUUGACCGGCGUGCUGACCUCUCUGUUGUGCCUAGGUGGGGCUGCGACGUAGUGUAGCUCCUUGCUUGCGAGUACUUUGGAUGAGUACUCACGGUUGCUUUGCUCCCUCUUUUCCCCCGUUUUCCUCUUCUUCUCGGAUGCCGCAACCAGACGUUGGAGCCCAGGAGCCAGACGCCACCGUCGACGACGACUACUACAAUAGAGGUGCCUAUUUCUACGUGCAGGCCGCUGACGACGACCAGGAGUAGUUAGGAGGAUCCCAGGCAGGAGGCAUGCACCUCUUUCGAUCUGUACCCCAGUUUGUGCUAGCCAUCUUAUGGUAACUUGUUUAACUUAUGUCUGUACUUAGAUAUUGUUGCUUCCGCUGACUCGUCUAUGAUCGAGCACUUGUAUUCGAGCCCUCGAGGCCCCUGGCUUGUAUUAUGAUGCUUGUAUGACUUAUUUUAUUUUUAGAGUUGUGUUGUGAUAUCUUCCCGUGAGUUCCUGAUCUUGAUCGUACACGUUUGCGUGUAUGAUUAGUGUACGAUUAAAUCGGGGGCGUCACAAGUUGGUAUCAGAGCCAGCUGCCUGUAGGAAUCCCCCUUUCCAACUCCUUGGCCGAAGUCGAGUCUAGACAAUAUAAAACUUUUACUAACAUGGCUGUGUGCCUUACGGGCCCACGUCGCCAUUGGGUGGUACUAGAAUCUUUUACUCCUUGUCUAUACUCUGGGACUCUGAUCUCUCCUCUAUUCGUGUUAAAUGAAUUUUACUAAAUCUAACAUUAGGAUCUCGUUAUCACUUUCACCCGGAGAGCCUCUUAUUAAUGAUGAUCAUCUGCGGCACGUGAAGACCCUGAAGAUACUCUCCGCUGUUAACCUGAGAACUUAUGUUCAUCGCAUUUGGAAUUCCCCUUCCACCGUCAACCCUUAUGGAUAACUACUUGCAGUUGUUAUUCUUACAUUCAUCCCCAGUUGGUCUUGUUAUUACCAGAUACCUCGAAACACUCGUCGUUGUUUCGAUAAUCCUUUGAGCUUAUCGCCUUGCUGUUCUUUGUCACCUGAAUACCCCUAAGGAUAAUUCUCGCACUUAUCGAGUAUCCGCUCAUCCCCCAGUUGUUCAUGUGUUUCACAAUGGUCUUCGAAAUACUAUUCGAUCCUCCAAAAAUCCUUAGUAACUUAUUGCUCUGUCAUACUUGUCUACUUGCAUGAUGGAUGCUUUCUAUAUGUCUGGCAAUAUUCGUUAGUAUCCUUAGGCAUCGUCAUUUUGAUCCUUUUGAUUCAACAUGAGUGCGAAUGCACGCAAUCAUCAGUUGAUCCUUUUAAAUUAUCUUCCCGGCUCGGACGUCAUUUUAAACAUGAGCUGGUUCUCAACCAAUCCAAAUGCCGUCGAUAGUACCCCUAAGGCUAUUCAACUUAUCCACCCCUAAUUAGAACAUUGCUUCUGUUCCCUUAAUUUGGAAAUCAUAAUUCCUUUGCAUUUGAGCUCUGGAUUAGUCAGUUGUUUCUAUAAUCCAAUGCCCUUGCAUUGUUACUUCCUCUGAUUGUGUGCUGAUGCUCACAUCAGCUCUGUUAUGGACCGACAGAUCCUUUAAUGGAUUUUAUCCGACAUUGUCCUUCAUAUUCAAUAACCUUGUGAGCCUUCCCUUGGAUAUAUAAUGCCUUUGGUAAAUUGUAUCAUCUGCUUUUGAACAAUGCUCUACUUUCGAGCUUGUAUUAUUUACUCCGAAGUUUGUGGUAUAUGUUCCUAAGAUGCCCUGAUGGGUUGAACCUAUGCCUUCCCUAAUCUGUGUGAACUCGAAAGAUUUCACGGGUCAAAUUAUCUGGUAUUGCACCAGGUAAAACUUUCAACAACUAAUGUCAUUUUCGAAAUACGAGAGGUGAAUGAAGGUUAUGCAUUAAAGAAGUGGGAGUCGACCUUGAACUUUGUGUUCAUGCCCAUGGACACGAUGUAGAUCCUAUCAUGGAAGCUUCUUGUAACUAUUUCCUUGAUAUAAUAUCCUUUGGUAUCGGUGAAUUGAUCCUUUGCAAUCGUGGUUCCGACCAUGUCCUCCUUUAAAUACCAUUUCCUGUGCAAGUUUAAGCACUUGUCUUCUAUAGAGCAAUACCCCAGUCCAACCUCUACUUGGAUCUGUUGUCGAGUAUUACCCCCUGGUAUCUCGAGAUUAUCAUGGAACUGCAUGACUUCUUAUGAGUUAUUCAUCAAGUGCUACCUUCCCACUGAUUCCAAUUUUUCACGGGCUCUGAGUUAUUAAACACUCAAAGACACCGAUGACUGAACCGAGUCCGCACUACGGUUCAACAUCUCUUCAGUAAGCUUCUAUAAGUACGAGUUUGUACCCGAUCACGCCAUUCCUAGCCUGUUUGGCUAUAUCAUUGUCGUGAUGAUUCUAACUGUGCUACCUGGUCCUUCUUCUCGGAGCACAAAUUUCGACGGUGAGCUAAUCUUACAAUCGAUCUUCCUCGUCAUAUCGUUCGCCUUGAACAACAAUCCUGAUUUCAAGUUUGUGUCCUACCCAUGGUUCCAAUAACCUUCCGCUACCUCAUUCCUUUGACUUAAUGUCAUCGCUGAUUGAUUACGUCUUCAUGGAAUCUCUCGACAAAUGUGUCGUGAUCAUCAUGACCGUUCUGAGCUCUUCUAGGAUAUCAUCUGAACUCAUGAUGACAAAUACCUUCCUUUCCCCUCGUUGAUUUGUGUUAUCCUUGCCAACAUUAUUGCCUUCCCUCCGAGGCAAACUUGUUCGUGUUUUGUGUUAUACCUUGAGUUCCUUGCUACCCAGCAUUGUUCUUCUUUACCUUGUAAUAUUACCACCUUUUAUGUCGAGAAUGUCGUGGGAAUUUCACCACCUCUUGAGAAUUCUUGGUAUGGUGAUACUUCUCACCAUCGCCAUUCUUCUUGGGUCCUCGUGUUGAUUCCAACCAGGGUACCAACAAGUGAGCGGUGCUGUUUGGAUUCCGCCCUUCUAGGAUCCAUAUUGCUUUGAAGUUAAUGGUCGACCGUUCAUUCUUAGACUAUUGAUUAUUGAAUCACCAUUCCAAUGUUGGUCGUGCAAUCCAGCCCAUAUUUCGGGUGCACCUUUCAACCAAUGUUUAAUUGUGUAUGUUUUCCUCGAGCAUACAUCAUUAUACCAUUUGAUCUGACAAAUGCUAUCUCCUUGUUCACAUAAUUGUGGAAAUCCACCUUUUUGGAAAUCUCAAGGAUUGUUACUUACUCCAUCAGCUACCCCGUCAUCCUCUCGUUGGUUUAAAUGAUGAACUCUUGAGUUGGAACUUGCUUCCAUAGUACAUUCCCCAAUAAUCUUACGAUGUCGUCUCGUCAAUUUGUCUUGCACCUUUUCUUCUCGGGCAUCUUGAGUCUGAGGUAUCCUGACACCAAUCAGAUCUGAAUCUCGGUCAGAUAUGGUGGCCGGGACAUAUUUCCUAGAGUUAUAACAUUAGCAUUUGACCCGAUAAGGUGAUGUCAUGCCUAGCACACCUGACCGGAGGACCUAUUGUUAUAAUUUUCCUUUUAGCAAUGUUAACCAUUCUUCCAAGAGGAAAUUGAAAGACUUAUUCUAUAAGCUGUUCCUGAUGAAUCCAUUGAGUAUCUAAAGUCCGACCUUUGCUUUAAGACCAUGUCAAUGCUAUCUCGAAGCAUGUCUGUGGUACUCCGAUUUUCAACAGGAACAUUUGAAGCACGAUGCUAAAUUUUAUUUAUCAUUUAUCCUAACACCAUUGUAUGGGUAAUAUCAUGAGAUUCCUCCCCCCUUACCUAAAUGGUUUUCUACUUUAUAUCCUGUCUUGGAUAUCAUCCUCUGCUUGACUUUGGGGAGGAUAUACCCCUGAUAUAUGUGUUUAAACACAUUUUCCUUUCCAUUGUUCUGAUUAAUUUGAUAAUCAUAUUAUCCUUUCCAUUGUUUAGUUUAACCUUUCUUGAGGUUUAUAUGAUCUAAGCAGUAAUAUUUUCCUGCUUACGAAAACACCUCGGUGUACCACCUUAUCAGUCAAACCCUGUUACUAUUGUUGAUGACAUUUCGGUAACCACCGAUGGACGGGAACAUUGCCUAUUGGUCCGCCUCGUUCAACGAGCGGGAAAAUGGUUCUCUUCGUCCCUCGCUCUUGGUACCGAUAUUGUUGCCGACAUAACUGAUAGGCUAUCCUCUGACAUGUCUUGCUAUCAUGACCGUACAAGAUGUCAACGCCCUUCCUACUCUUAACCACAUGGUGGGCCCAUAACCCACAGGUCCCAGGAUCGAAACGUGACUCUCCUAUACCCCAUGUUUCCAAAGUUAUUCCUCGCGCUUGGCUUCGUAUUUAAUUCAUGGGCCACAUUCCUAGUGCUCUAUACUUGUAUCAGACGCAAUACUUAAACUUGAUGCUUUGAACCCCUUUCACACUCUUUUUCAGGCAUCGAACGAUUGUCUAUCCGCUUGGAACUCCUUAAUGUACCUUCUUACCUUACUCUCGAUUUGUUCAACUCGAGAGAUACUCAUCUCUUCAUUCACGGGAAAACCCCAGAAGAUUACCCCUUAAGCAUUCUCUCGUAGCCAAGCUACCCCUUACCUAUUCGUAAGCACGAAGGAACCCCCGAAGAAAGGAUGACGACUUCACCAUGAUGACCUGAAGCAAAGAAAUGAAGACGUCAAUGUAAUGGAUCGACCUCUUCGAGAAGAGCAACCAAGGCCGAGAAGAUCCGUUAGGAUUUCGUAACUAGAACUUUCCCCCUUACACCCCUCUUAAAUCUCGGGACGAGAUUUCUUGUAGUGGAGGAGAAUUGUGACGCCCGGAUAAUUAAGCUACAGUAAUCACGGACUAAUGGUGCCACGUCACCACGAUUACUGUUGUUAACCUUGCGAUGAUUCGAAGCCGUUUCAAAAUUCAAAUUCAAAUUAAUGUCAAUAAUAAAAGUUUUCAAAAAUUAAAAUAAAAAUGUUCGGUUUGUACUAAAUAUUACAUAGAUAAUUAUGGUGUAGAAGACACAUUUUAUAAAAUGCAUAAAUAUUUUAAAUUGAAUUAAAACAGAAAAGAAAUAAAUAAAAGAAAGAAAAUACAAAAGAGACAAACAAACAAACCAAAAAAAGGAAAAGGAACCCCCCCAUCUGGGCCUCGGUCCAGCAGGCCGACGGACCGCCAGGCCGGCCCACCCCGGUCCCCCCUUAUCCCCCCACGCGACCAAACCCUAAACCGCUACCACCCCCACUCCCCUCGUUCCCCCACUCUCUCUCGCUCGAUUCCCUCCCCAUCUUCCUCGCACCGCCACACACUCAGCGGCGAGGGCCCUNNNNNNNNNNNNNNNNNNNNNNNNNNNNNNNNNNNNNNNNNNNNNNNNNNNNNNNNNNNNNNNNNNNNNNNNNNNNNNNNNNNNNNNNNNNNNNNNNNNNNNNNNNNNNNNNNNNNNNNNNNNNNNNNNNNNNNNNNNNNNNNNNNNNNNNNNNNNNNNNNNNNNNNNNNNNNNNNNNNNNNNNNNNNNNNNNNNNNNNNNNNNNNNNNNNNNNNNNNNNNNNNNNNNNNNNNNNNNNNNNNNNNNNNNNNNNNNNNNNNNNNNNNNNNNNNNNNNNNNNNNNNNNNNNNNNNNNNNNNNNNNNNNNNNNNNNNNNNNNNNNNNNNNNNNNNNNNNNNNNNNNNNNNNNNNNNNNNNNNNNNNNNNNNNNNNNNNNNNNNNNNNNNNNNNNNNNNNNNNNNNNNNNNNNNNNNNNNNNNNNNNNNNNNNNNNNNNNNNNNNNNNNNNNNNNNNNNNNNNNNNNNNNNNNNNNNNNNNNNNNNNNNNNNNNNNNNNNNNNNNNNNNNNNNNNNNNNNNNNNNNNNNNNNNNNNNNNNNNNNNNNNNNNNNNNNNNNNNNNNNNNNNNNGGCGAGGGCCCUCGUGCCCGAACCCCCCUCGCAACCUCUCCUCUCCAGUGCUCCCCCGCGGCUCUCCGGUGCUCCUCAGGCGGGACACAGCUGCCAUUCAUCGACGAGGCAACCACCGCACCGGUGGUCUUCUUCUCCGCUCGUUCUGGAUCGGGCAUGACCCCCGCCGACGCCACGAUGUCAUCCCGUCCCCGGUCGCCGGAGCCGCCCCUCGUCUACCUCCACCUCGUCGGACGCCUUCACCGACCUUCUCCCCGCCGGCGCCAUCAUGCCUCACCGCCGAACUCCCCUACAACGGGGGUGAGAACCCCAUCCCCCUACUUCCCUCUCCCCAUCGUCCCGCACGGCCAUCGCCACGCUCAGCGCGCUGGCCACCCCUGUUCCCCUGUCUCGCCCGCUGUUUCGUGCCUCUGUUGCCGCUGCUCGCCCGUCCACAGGGCUGCUGCUGUGCCUGGACGUCGCGCGUCACCGCACGCCCCCUGUGCACUCCGCCGGCGCUGCCGCGCCCCUUCCCCCGCUCGCUCCAUGCCUCGUGUCCGCCCCUCCCAGCGACAGCUGGCCGCCGGCCACCCGUCGACCAGGCUCCGGCCACGGCCUCGCCCACAGUCGUGGGUGCGUGUGCGUGUGUGUGGCCGGUUGUGCCCUUGACCACUGGGGCCCAGCCUCUGGAUAAGAACGAAAAACAAAUGAACAAAAAUAAGUGUUAAUUAAAAUAUUUAGUAUGUUAAUUAAUUAGUUAAUUAAGUAAAUAGCAUAAUAUAACCAAGUGACAGAUGGGCCUCACUGUUAAUUAAGCAAGUUUUCCUAAACUAAUAGAGUUAUGAGUCAAUGACAGUGGAACCCACUUGUCAGGUUGACCCGGUCAACGGUCAAUGCUGACUGGGCUGUUGACCUUGACUGGACCCACCAGUCAGCCUGUGCUGACUGGGCAGUUGACCAAGUCAACGGGGCCUACGGGUCAGCCACACAAGUCCAUCUCUGGGUACACUUCUGUGUGCCCAUAGCAAUUUAACAUUUAAUUUUUGAAUUAAAAUAAUUUAGGAAAUGAUUAAAACCUUAGAAAAAUCAUAUAAAAUAAUCCGUAGCUCAGAUCGAAAAACUUUCUACAUGAAAGUUGCUCAGAACAACGAGACGAACCCGGAAACACAGCCCGUUCGUCCGCCACGCGUCCCUAGCAUAGUGAACCUGCAACAUUUCACCUCCGGUUCAUCUGUCCAAAAACGCGAAACACUGGGGAUACUUUCCCGGAUGUUUCCCCCCUUCGUCGGUAUCACCUACUACCGCGAUUGGGCACACCUAGCAUCGUUACUUGUCAUGUCAUGCAUCGUUUGCAUUGUAUUCAUAGUUUCUUCCCCCUCUUCUCUCCGAUAGACCACGAGACCGACGCUGCUGCUGCCCAGUUCGACUACGGAGUUGACGACCCCUCCUUCUUGCCAGAGCAACCAGGCAAGCCCCCCCCCUUUUAUCACCAGAUAUCGCCUAUUAUCCUCUAUACUGCUUGCAUUAGAGUAGUGUAGCAUGUUACUGCUUUCCGUUAAUCCUAUUCUGUUGCAUAGCCUGUCAUUGUUGCUACAGUCAUUGAUACCUUACCCGCAAUCCUAAAUGCUUAGUAUAGGAUGCUAGUUUAUCAUCAUUGGCCCUACAUUCUUGUCAGUCUGCCUCGCUAUACUAUUGGGCCGUGAUCACUCGGGAGGUGAUCACGGGUAUAUACUAUACAUACAUACAUACUAUACAUAUGGUGACUAAAGUCGGGUCAGCUCGAUGAGUACCCGCAAGUGAUUCUGAUGAGGGGGCUGAAAGGACAGUUGGCUCCAUCCCGGUAGAGGUGGGCCUGGGUUCCCGACGGCCCCGACUGUUACUUUGUGGCGGAGCGACAGGGCAGGUUGAGACCACCUAGGAGACAGGUGGGCCUGGCCCUGUUUGGCGUUCGCGGAUACUUAACACGCUUAACGAGAUCUUGGUAUUUGAUCUGAGUCUGGCCAUUUGGUCUAUACGCACUAACCAUCUACGCGGGAGUAGUUAUGGGUAUCCCGACGUCGUGGUAUCAGCCGAAACCUUCGUGACGUCAGCAACUGAGGGGCGCGCGCCGGAUUGGAACGUAAGCCAGCUCUUGUAUUAAGGGGGCUAGUUCUGCUUCCGGCCGCGUUCGCAACGUGCAGGUGUGCUAAGGGCGAUGGGCCCAGACCCCUGUGCGCUUAGGUUUAGACCGGCAUGCUGACCUCUCUGUUGUGCCUAGGUGGGGCUGCGACGUGUUGAUCUUCCGCGGCCGGGUAUGACCCCGAAAAGUGUGUCCGGCCAAAUGGGAUCGAGCGUGUUGGGUUAUGUGGUGCACCCGUGCAGGGAAGUUAAUCUAUUCGAAUAGCCGUGAUCUUCGGUAACAAGACGACUUGGAGUUGUACCUUGACCUUAUGACAACUAGAACCGGAUACUUAAUAAAACACACCCUUCCAAGUUCCACAAACAACCCGGUGAUCGCUUUUCCACAGGGCAACGAGGGGAGGAUCGCCGGGUAGGAUUAUGCUAUGCGAUGCUACUGGAGAUGCUACUUGGAGAUGCUACUUGGAGGACUUCAAUCUACUCUCUUCUACAUGCUGCAAGACGGAGGCUGCCAGAAGCGUAGUCUUCGACAAGAUUAGCUAUCCCCUUCUUAUUCUGGCAUUCUGCAGUUCAGUCCACUGAUAUGGCCUCCUUACACAUAUACCCAUGCAUAUGUAGUGUAGCUCCUUGCUUGCGAGUACUUUGGAUGAGUACUCACGGUUGCUUUGCUCCCUCUUUUCCGUCGUUUUCCUCUUCUUCUCGGAUACCGCAACCAGACGUUGGAGCCCAGGAGCCAGACGCCACCGUCGACGACGACUACUACACUGGAGGUGCCUACUUCUACGUGCAGGCCGCUGACGACGACCAGGGGUAGUUAGGAGGAUCCCAGGCAGGAGGCCUGCGCCUUUUUCGAUCUGUACCCCAGUUUGUGCUUACCAUCUUAUGGCAACUUGUUUAACUUAUGUCUGUACUCAGAUAUUGUUGCUUCCGCUGACUCGUCUAUGAUCGAGCACUUGUAUUCGAGCCCUCGAGGCCCCUGGCUUGUAUUAUGAUGCUUGUAUGACUUAUUUUAUUUUUAGAGUUGUGUUGUGAUAUCUUCCCGUGAGUCCCUGAUCUUGAUCGUACACGUUUGCGUGUAUGAUUAGUGUAUGAUUAAAUCGGGGGCGUCACAAGAUGGCUGCGGCCCUCCGGCGGGCGGGCGCGUCCAAUGUGGUGUGGCUCCGUCCCUCCACCCCCUCCCCCCAAGUCAAGCUCGGGCCGGCCCCCUUUGGCGGCAACCAUGGAGUCCUGGUGGUGCCCGGCGGCGGCUGCAUCUUGCAGCGCGCCGGCUGGGCCCUUGGCUGCGCCCGUACUCUCCUCCAGCCAGCCACCCACCCCACGGAGGGGCGACUCAUCCCCCGUGGCCACGGACAUGCAUCCCUUCCUGCGUCCAUGGCUGGUUGGGGCAGCUCCGGGCCCGACGCACUGCGGGAGCGGCGCUCCUUCCGGUUCCUUUGGCUCACUGACACCUCGGCACGUCCGCACCCCCACCCUGCUGGUGUCAUUCGUUGGCCGUCCAUCCCGGCGCGUCUGCGAUUCCGGCGCACUUCGGGAGCUGCGCCCCCUUCUGGCUCCUUGGGCUCGCCGGCAUCCUCGAUUCUGGUCCCGGUGACCAGGAUCUGCGCUACCAUUCGGAUUUUGGCUCGCUUGGCCUCCGGCCAACGCCACAUCCUUCGUCGCCUCUCAUUCUGCCCAACCACCCACCUUCGUGUCCCGUCUGUCCCUUCGCCACUCCUUUGCUCUCUUGUCCGGCGGUGCCCGGUGCCUCCUUCGGUGGCGGGCAUUGCUCCCCUUUCCCGUGGUUGUUGUUUCUGCCUAUGCUUGACUUCUUCUUAUCGGAUUCAUGCUUCGAUGGCUUGGGGAUUGCUCAGACUCUGGCCAGGGCGAAAUCCUUGCAUCCUAUGCUGGCAGCAGCGACACUCGCGAGUGUCAUACCCUUGUUGGAGGCAUUGCCACGGCCGUUUGUGCCCCUCUUCGAGCAUAAGGGGAAACCCUAGCUCCGGUUCUCCCGAUCGGACGGCGACGACGUCUCGGCGCCGUUCUCCUUCAUGAAGGUGUUGUCUUGUUUGCUCGCGGCGUCCUCGGUUCUGGAUCUAGUGAUCUUGGUCGUCUUGUUGUUCGUCUGGGCUACUUCCUAGGAUGGUGAGUCCAGCUUUGUUUUUCUCUAAUUGGGCCGAGCAUCCCAUGUCUCUCAGCUCUAGGCAUCAUGUUCAUGCCCAUUCUAUACUCGUUCUAUCUUCUUCUAUCAAUGAAAUGAUACGCAAGCUUUGCGUGUUCGUGAAAAAAAAAAAGAAAACUAUGACUCCAACUAACUACCGGGCAAGUAGUGUACCACUAUAUACGUGGUCGAUGGAGACAAAAAAUAAGCUGGUGAAUGCGUUCGAUUGAUCUGGUAAAAAAUAAACAAAAACUACCCGAUGAUCUGUCAUGUAAAGUAAAACGCAAUUAAUGUAACUCACAGCCGAGGUUUUACCCGCUAACGGCGGCAUCCAACGUAACGUAAAAGUAAAUACUACAUGAUGCCACGAGCACAGCAAGUAUACCAGUACGGCAAAUGGAACGGCCUGGCCCUGUGGCUGUGGCAUCGGUAGUGCACGAUGCACGCGGACGAGUGAGCUAAAACGAGCUACGGAGCUAGGCUUUGGCUGCCCUGUAUGCACUGUCAAAAAUGGUCACAUGCCGCACCGGACCCCGACCCUCUCCUUCUCUCACAUGCUAGCUCACAGUGCCUGCGCCUGCUCGAGCUCCACACAUCCGUCGUGGGUGUUUGCGCGGGCCCACGCGCGUGGCGUCUCAUUGCAGUGCAGGCUCGCUCGCUCGCCACCGCGUUGCUCCUGCCCGGUACUUCGCACGUGUUUCAAACGGAUUCUCAUUUGAUGGGGGCGCAUGCGCCGAUGUAAUAAUCUUUGUCUUUGCUUUUUAGGGAAAUGUAAUAAUCUUUGUCGCCUUUUUUUUAUGGGACUUUGGAGCAGAUGAUAUGGGUCAAGCUGAACCCACUCUGAACAAAGAUAUAAAGAACGGUGUAGUCAAAUCGGCAAUGGCACGCUAAAUACAUGUUGGGGCUUGCAAAAUGGACAAGUGGUCCGCAGUGACAUACAAACAAAAAUUGACUGUGCCGGUAGCUUUUGUGUUUGUAUUAUAAUUCAUACAAACAAAAAACUAUGACUCUAACUAACUACCAGGCAGUAGUUUACAACUAUAUACGUAAUCGACCGAGACCAAAAAUAAGUUGAUGAAUGUGUUUGAGUCGGGAAAUCGAACCGAUGAUCUGUCACGCAAUACACAANNNNNNNNNNNNNNNNNNNNNNNNNNNNNNNNNNNNNNNNNNNNNNNNNNNNNNNNNNNNNNNNNNNNNNNNNNNNNNNNNNNNNNNNNNNNNNNNNNNNNNNNNNNNNNNNNNNNNNNNNNNNNNNNNNNNNNNNNNNNNNNNNNNNNNNNNNNNNNNNNNNNNNNNNNNNNNNNNNNNNNNNNNNNNNNNNNNNNNNNNNNNNNNNNNNNNNNNNNNNNNNNNNNNNNNNNNNNNNNNNNNNNNNNNNNNNNNNNNNNNNNNNNNNNNNNNNNNNNNNNNNNNNNNNNNNNNNNNNNNNNNNNNNNNNNNNNNNNNNNNNNNNNNNNNAAACGGCCGAGUAUUCUUUAGAGGACUAUGUUUACUCCUCUAAAAAUUGACUGUUUCUAGCCGAUCUCUAAUACUUAGAGAAGUAAAAAAAAUGUCAUAUUCAUUUAAUUUUCAGUUACUGAAAUCAACUUCACUAAUUAAUUAUUUUAUUGAGCGAUAUCUUGGUAACAUACUUCACCAAUUCUACGUUAAGUGAACCAAUCCAAAGAAAAUCACAAGAAAGAUUACACACUAAUAGAAAUUCAACUUUCAUAACUGCUCUCACUAAUUAUAUUAAUAUUUUCUCUAUGUCUUCAUUACCUAUAUUGUUCGUUUCUCAAUCAGGUUUUUGAGCUUGCACAAUUCUUUCUUCUCCGCUUUCACAUAAUUGGACAGUGCGUCGUCUCUAGUCUCAUCUUUAGUUUCUACUCUAGCAUGUAGUGCAUGGACAUCUAGCAAAUUUCACGCUAUAAAUAGAUCGAUGUACUCUUCUUUCCAACAUCAAAACUUGCAUCCGUCCUACAUAUAAUCUUCAGCAAAUAAUAAGUUACAAAUUGCAACAAAUCUGAAGAACAACCGUACAAAUAAGUGCUCAUCCGUCCUUUUCGCACUUGAUGAACACUCAUCUGGGAUAUUGUUUCGGCAUGCUCGAAACUCGGCACAGCACCAGUCAUGGGCAGUGGUCACACUUGAUGACCGGCAGCAGCGAGCCAACGAGCUGCUGUCCCCAAAUGGAAUAGGAGUUUUUGCUCUAAUGGGUGGGCGACCUAGUAAAUAUAGAAUCCCACGAUGCCGAGGAGUAUAUAUAAUUUUUUUACUUCUCUAACCAUUAUAUGUGUUCCGCUACGUGUCAAUUAGAGAAGUAAACUGAACUUUAUACUCCUCUAACCGUUUUCAGGGGAUCAGCUAGAGAUACCUAACAUCGGCAUCCAAUGUAAAAACAAAUGCAUUGUGCUAUCGAAAUGUUGUGCCACUAUUGUUAGGUUGAUCUGUCACCCGUUCGAACCCAACGGGUCGAACGGGCCCCUGACUCGCGCCCUGAUCGGGGGCGCCCAGCCAAACCAUGGUUGGUGGGCCCCUAUCGCCAGCGCAAUAUAAAGAGGUGGGGUCCCGGGGCAUGCAUCACGAGGUUGACCGUGCACCACAACACCACCAACACACCAAUCCGAUCUAGGGUUGCGCUUGAAGGAAAUAUGCCCUAGAGGCAAUAAUAAAGUUAUUAUUUAUUUCCUCAUAUCAUGAUAAAUGUUUAUUAUUCAUGCUAGAAUUGUAUUAACCGGAAACAUGAUACAUGUGUGAAUAGAUAGACAAACAUAUAGUCACUAGUAUGCCUCUACUUGACUAGCUCAUUAAUCAAAGAUGGUUAUGUUUCCUAAUCAUAGACAUGUGUUGUCAUUUGAUUAAUGGGAUCACAUCAUUAGAAGAAUGAUGUGCUUGACAUGACCCAUUCCGUUAGCCUAGUACUUGAUCGUUUAGUAUGUUGCUAUUUCUUUCUUCAUGACUUAUACAAAGUUCCUGCAACUAUGAGAUUGUGCAACUCACGUUUACCGGAAGAACACUUUAUGUGCUACCAAACGUCACAACGUAACUGGGUGAUUAUAAAGGUGCUCUACAGGUGUUUCCGAAGGUACAUGUUGAGUUGGCAUAAUUCGAGAUUAGGUUUUGUCACUCCGAUUGUCGGAGAGGUAUCUCUGGGCCCUCUCGGUAAUACUCAUCACUUAAGCCUUGCAAGCAUUAUAACUAAUGAGUUAGUAAUAAGAUGAUGUGUUACAGAACGAGUAAAGAGACUUGCCAAUAACGAGAUUGAACUAGGUAUUGGAUAUCGACGAUCAAAUCUCGGGCAAGUAACAUACCGAUGACAAAGGGAACAACGUAUGUUGUUAUGCGGUUUGACCGAUAAAGAUCUUCGUAGAAUAUGUAGGAACCAAUAUGGGCAUCCAGGUUCCGCUAUUGGUUAUUGACCGAGAAUGGUUCUAGGUCAUGUCUACAUAGUUCUCGAACCCGUAGGGUCCGCAUGCUUAACGUUACGAUGACAAUUUUAUUAUGAGUUUAUAAGUUUUGAUGUACCGAAGUUUGUUCGGAGUCCCGGAUGUGAUCACGGACAUGACGAGGAGUCUCGAAAUGGUCGAGACAUAAAGAUUGAUAUAUUGGAAGCCUAUAUUUGGACAUCGGAAAGGUUCCGGGUGAAAUGAGGAUUUUACCGGAACACCCGGGGGUUACCGGAACCCUCCCGGGGGUUAAUGGGCUUUAAUGGGCCAUGAGGGAGAAGAGGAGGGCCAGCCAGGGCAGGCCGCGCGCCCCCUCCCCCCUAGUCCGAAUAGGACAAGGAAGGGGGGGGGGCGCCCCCCUUUCCUCUUUCCCCUCCCUCCUUUCCUUCUCCACCAAGGCAAGAGGGGGGAGUCCUACUCCCGGUGGGAGUAGGACUCCUCCAGGCGCAUCCCAAAGGGGCCGGCCGCACCUCCCCCUCCCGCCUUUAUAUACGGGGGCAAGGGGGCACCCCAUAACACACAAGUUGAUCUACGGAUCGUUCCUUAGCCGUGUGCGGUGCCCCCGUCCACCAUAUUCCACCUUGGUCAUAUCGUCGCGAAGCUUAGGCGAAGCCCUGCGCCGGUAGAACAUCAUCAUCGUCACCACACCGUCGUGCUGACAGAACUCAUCCCCAAAGCUUUGCUGGAUCGGAGCCCGGGGAUCGUCAUCGAGCUGAACGUGUGCUGAACUCGGAGGUGCCGUACGUUCGGUGCUUGGAUCGGUCGGAUCGUGAAGACGUACGACUACAUCAACCGCGUUGUGCUAACGCUUCCGCUUACGGUCUACGAGGGUACGUGGACAACACUCUCCCCUCUCGUUGCUAUGUCAUCACCAUGAUCUUGCGUGUGCGUAGGAAAUUUUUUGAAAUUACUACGUUCCCCAACAGUGGUAUCAGAGCCUAGGUUUUAUGCGUUGAUGUUAUAUGCACGAGUAGAACACAAGUGAGUUGUGGGAGAUACAAGUCAUACUGCUUACCAGCAUGUCAUACUUUGGUUCGGCGGUAUUGUGACAUGAAGCGGCCUGGACCGACAUUACGCGUACGCUUACGCGAGACUGGUUUCACCGUUGCGAGCACUCGUGCUUAAAGGUGGCUGGCGGGUGUCUGUCUCUCUCACUUUAGCUAAAUCGAGUGUGGCUACGCCCGGGUCCUUGCGAAGGUUAAAACAGCACCAACUUGACAAACUAUCGUUGUGGUUUUGAUGCGUAGGUAAGAACGGUUCUUGCUAAGCCCGUAGCAGCCACGUAAAAUUUUGCAACAACAAAGUAGAGGACGUCUAACUUGUUUUUGCAGGGCAUGUUGUGAUGUGAUAUCGUCAAGACGUGAUGCUAUAUUUUAUUGUAUGGGAUGAUCAUGUUUUGUAACCGAAGUUAUCGGCAACUAGCAGGAGCCAUAUGGUUGUCGCUUUAUUGUAUAAAAUGCAAACGCCCUGUAAUUGCUUUACUUUAUCACUAAGCGGUAGCGAUAGUCGUAGAAGCAAUAGUUGGCGAGACGACAACGAUGCUACGAUGGAGAUCAAGGUGUCGCGCCGGUGACGAUGGUGAUCAUGACGGUGCUUCGAAGAUGGAGAUCACAAGCACAAGAUGAUGAUGGCCAUAUCAUAUCACUUAUAUUGAUUGCAUGUGAUGUUUAUCCUUUAUGCAUCUUAUCCUGCUUUGAUUGACGGUAGCAUUUUAAGAUGAUCUCUCACUAAAAAUUAUCAAGAAGUGUUCUCACUGAGUAUGCACCAUUGCUAAAGUUCGUCGUGCCCAAACACCACGUGAUGAUCGGGUGUGAUAAGCUCUACGUCCAUCUACAACGGGUGCAAGACAGUUUUGCACACGCGGAAUACUCAGGUUAAACUUGACGAGCCUAGCAUAUGCAGAUAUGGCCUCGGAACACGGAGACUGAAAGGUCGAGCGUGAAUCAUAUAGUAGAUAUGAUCAACAUAAAGAUGUUCACCAUUGAAAACUACCCCAUCUCACGUGAUGAUCGGUUAUGGUUUAGUUGAUUUGGAUCACGUGAUCACUUAGAUGACUAGAGAGAUGUCUGUCUAAGUGGGAGUUCUUAAGUAAUAUGAUUAAUUGAACCUAAAUUUAUCAUGAACUUAGCACCUGAUAGUAUUUUGCUUGUCUAUGUUUGUUUGUAGAUAGAUGGCUCGUGCUGUUGUUCCGUUGAAUUUUAAUGCGUUCCUUGAGAAAGCAAAGUUGAAAGAUGAUAGUAGCAAUUACACGGACUGGGUCCGUAACCUGAGGAUUAUCCUCAUUGCUGCAUAGAAAAGUUACGUCCUGGAAGCACCGCUGGGUGCCAGGCCUGCUGCUGAUGCAACUGACGACGUUAAGAACGUCUGGCAGAGCAAAGCUGAUGACUACUCUAUAGUUCAGUGUGCCAUGCUUUACGGCUUAGAACCGGGUCUUCAACGACGUUUUGAACGUAAUGGAGCAUAUGAGAUGUUCCAGGAGUUGAAGUUAAUAUUUCAAGCAAAUGCCCGGAUUGAGAGAUAUGAAGUCUCCAAUAAGUUCUACAGCUGCAAGAUGGAGGAGAAUAGUUCUGUUAGUGAGCAUAUACUCAAAAUGUCUAGGUAUAAUAAUCACUUGAUUCAACUGGGAGUUAAUCUUCCGGAUGAUAGCGUCAUUGACAGAACUCUCCAAUCACUGCCACCAAGCUACAAGAGCUUUGUGAUGAACUAUAAUAUGCAAGGGAUGAACAAGACUAUUCCCGAGCUCUUCGCAAUGCUAAAAGCUGCGGAGGUAGAAAUCAAGAAGGAGCAUCAAGUGUUGAUGGUCAACAAUACCACUAGUUUCAAGAAAAAGGGCAAAGGGAAGAAGAAGGGGAACUUCAAGAAAAACAGCAAGCAAGUUGCUGCUCAAGAGAAGAAACCCAAGUCUGGACCUAAGCCUGAAACGGAGUACUUCUACUGCAAGCAGACUGGUCACUGGAAGCGGAACUGCCCCAAGUAUUUGGCGGAUAAGAAGGAUGGCAAAGUGAACAAAUAUAUAUGUGAUAUACAUGUUAUUGAUGUGUACCUAACUAGAGCUCGUAGUAGCACCUGUGUAUUUGAUACUGGUUCUGUUGCUAAUUUUUGCAACUCGAAACAGGGACUACAGAAUAAGCGAGCACUGGCCAAGGACGAGGUGACGAUGCGCGUGGGAAACGGUUCCAAAGUCGAUGUGAUCGCAGUCGGCACGCUACCUCUACAUCUACCUUCGGGAUUAGUUUUAGACCUGAAUAAUUGUUAUUUGGUGCCAGCGUUGAGCAUGAACAUUAUAUCUGGAUCUUGUUUGAUGCGAGACGGUUAUUCAUUUAAAUCAGAGAAUAAUGGUUGUUCUAUUUAUAUGAGUAAUAUCUUUUAUGGUCAUGCACCCUUGAAGAGUGGUCUAUUUUUAUUAAAUCUCGAUAGUAGUGAUACACAUAUUCAUAGUGUUGAAACCAAAAGAUGCAGAGUUAAUAAUGAUAGUGCAACUUAUUUGUGGCACUGUCGUUUUGGUCAUAUCGGUGUAAAACGCUUGAAGAAGCUCCAUACUAAUGGACUUUUGGAAUCACUUGAUUAUGAAUCACUUGGUACUUGUGAACCGUUCCUUAUGGGUAAGAUGACUAAAACGCCGUUCUCCGGAACUAUGGAGCGAGCAACUGAUUUGUUGGAAAUCAUACAUACUGAUGUUUGUGGCCCAAUGAAUGUUGAGGCUCGCAGCGGGUAUCGUUAUUUUCUCACCUUCACAGAUGAUUUGAGUAGAUAUGGGUAUAUCUACUUGAUGAAACACAAGUCUGAAACAUUUGAAAAGUUUAAAGAAUUUCAGAGUGAAGUGGAAAAUCAUCGUAACAAGAAAAUAAAGUUUCUACGAUCUGAUCGUGGAGGAGAAUAUUUGAGUUAUGAGUUUGGCCUACACUUGAAACAAUGUGGAAUAGUUUCGCAACUCACGCGACCUGGAACACCACAACGAAAUGGUGUGUCCGAACGUCUUAAUCGUACUUUACUGGAUAUGGUGCGAUCUAUGAUGUCUCUUACUGAUUUACCGCUAUCAUUUUGGGGUUAUGCUUUAGAGACGGCCGCAUUCACGUUAAAUAGGGCACCAUCAAAAUCCGUUGAGACGACGCCUUAUGAACUAUGGUUUGGCAAGAAACCAAAGUUGUCGUUUCUUAAAGUUUGGGGCUGCGAUGCUUAUGUGAAGAAACUUCAACUAGAUAAGCUCGAACCUAAAUCGGAGAAAUGUGUCUUCAUAGGAUACCCAAAAGAGACUAUUGGGUACACCUUCUAUCACAGAUCCGAAGGCAAGACAUUCGUUGCUAAGAAUGGAUCCUUUCUAGAGAAGGAGUUUCUUUCGAAAGAAGUGAGUGGGAGGAAAGUAGAACUUGAUGAGAUAACUGUAUCUACUCCAUUAUUGGAAAGUAGUUCAUCACGAGAACCGGUUCCUGUGACAACUACACCAAUUAGUGAGGAAGCUAAUGAUAAUGAUCAUGAAACUUCAGAUCAAGUUUCUACUGAACUUCGUAGGUCUACCAGAGUAAGAUCCGCGCCAGAGUGGUACGGUAAUCCUAUUCUGGAAGUCAUGUUACUUGACCAUGAUGAACCUACGAACUAUGAGGAAGCGAUGAUGAGCCCGGAUUCCGCAAAAUGGCUAGAAGCCAUGAAAUCUGAGAUGGGAUCCAUGUAUGAAAACAAAGUAUGGACUUUGGUUGACUUGCCCGAUGAUCGGCAAGCCAUUGAGAAUAAAUGGAUCUUUAAGAAGAAGACUGACGCUGAUGGUAAUAUAACUGUCUAUAAAGCUCGACUUGUUGCAAAAGGUUUUCAACAAGUUCAAGGGGUUGACUACGAUGAGACUUUCUCACCCGUAGCGAUGCUUAAGUCUGUCCGAAUCAUGUUAGCUAUUGCUGCAUUUCAUAAUUAUGAAAUUUGGCAAAUGGAUGUCAAGACUGCAUUCUUGAAUGGAUUUCUAGAAGAAGAGUUGUAUAUGAUGCAGUCGGAAGGUUUUAUUGAUCCAAAAAGGUGCUGACAAAGUGUGCAAGCUCCAGCGUUCCAUUUAUGGAGUGGUGCAAGCAUCUCUGAGUUGGAAUAGACGCUUUGAUAGUGUGAUCAAAGCAUAUGGUUUUUUACAGACUUUUGGAGAAGCCUGUAUUUACAAGAAAUUGAGUGGGAGCGCUGUAGCAUUUCUAAUUUUAUAUGUAGAUGACAUAUUAUUAAUUGGAAAUGAUAUAGAAUUUCUGGAUAGCAUAAAAGGAUACUUGAAUAAAAGUUUUUCAAUGAAAGACCUCGGUGAAGCUGCUUACAUAUUGGGCAUCAAGAUCUAUAGAGAUAGAUCAAGACGCUUAAUAGGACUUUCACAAAGCACAUACCUUGACAAAAUUUUGAAAAAGUUCAAAAUGGAUCAGGCAAAGAAAGGAUCCUUGCCUGUGCUACAAGGUGUGAAGUUGAGUUAAACUCAAUGCCCGACCACAGCAGAAGAUAGAGAGAAAAUGAAAAAUGUUCCCUAUGCUUCAGCCAUAGGCUCUAUGCAAUGCUGUGUACCAGACCUGACGUAUGCUUAGCAAUAAGCUUGGCAGGAAGGUACCAAAGUAAUCCAGGAGUGGAUCACUGGACAGCGGUCAAGAACAUCCUGAAAUACCUGAAAAGGACUAAGGAAAUGUUUCUCGUAUAUGGAGGUGACAAAGAGCUAGUCGUAAACGGUUACGUCGAUGCAAGCUUUGGCACUGAUCCGGACGAUUCUAAAUCGCAAACCGGAUACGUGUUUUUAAUAAACGGUGGAGCUGUAAGUUGGUGCAGUUCUAAACAAAGCGUCGUAGCAGGAUCUACAUGUGAAGCGGAGUACAUAGCUGCUUCGGAAGCAGCAAAUGAAGGAGUCUGGAUGAAGGAGUUCAUUUCCGAUCUAGGUAUCAUACCUAGUGCAUCGGGACCAGUGAAGAUCUUCUGUGACAGUACUGGUGCAAUUGCCUUGGCAAAGGAAUCCAGAUUUCACAAGAGGACCAAGCACAUCAAGAGACGCUUCAAUUCCAUUCGGGACCAAGUCCAAGUGGGAGGCAUAGAGAUUUGCAAAAUACAUACGGAUCUGAAUGUUGCAGACCUGUUGACUAAUCCUCUCUCACGAGCAAAACAUGAUCAACACCAAGACUCCAUGGGUCUUAGAAUCAUUACUAUGUAAUCUAGAUUAUUGACUCUAGUGCAAGUGGGAGACUGAAGGAAAUAUGCCCUAGAGGCAAUAAUAAAGUUAUUAUUUAUUUCCUCAUAUCAUGAUAAAUGUUUAUUAUUCAUGCUAGAAUUGUAUUAACCGGAAACAUGAUACAUGUGUGAAUAGAUAGACAAACAUAUAGUCACUAGUAUGCCUCUAGCUCAUUAAUCAAAGAUGGUUAUGUUUCCUAACCAUAGACAUGUGUUGUCAUUUGAUUAAUGGGAUCACAUCAUUAGAAGAAUGAUGUGAUUGACAUGACCCAUUCCGUUAGCCUAGCACUUGAUCGUUUAGUAUGUUGCUAUUGCUUUCUUCAUGACUUAUACAAAGUUCCUGCAACUAUGAGAUUGUGAACUCACGUUUACCGGAAGAACACUUUGUGUGCUACAAAACGUCACAACGUAACUGGGUGAUUAUAAAGGUGCUCUACAGGUGUUUCCGAAGGUACAUGUUGAGUUGGCAUAAUUCGAGAUUAGGUUUUGUCACUCCGAUUGUCGGAGAGGUAUCUCUGGGCCCUCUCGAUAAUACUCAUCACUUAAGCCUUGCAAGCAUUAUAACUAAUGAGUUAGUAAUAAGAUGAUGUGUUACAGAAUGAGUAAAGAGACUUGCCAGUAAUGAGAUUGAACUAGGUAUUGGAUACCGACGAUCAAAUCUCGGCAAGUAACAUACCGAUGACAAAGGGAACAACGUAUGUUGUUAUGCGGUUUGACCAAUAAAGAUCUUCGUAGAAUAUGUAGGAACCAAUAUGGGCAUCCAGGUUCCGCUAUUGGUUAUUGACCGAGAAUGGUUCUAGGUCAUGUCUACAUAGUUCUCGAACCCGUAGGGUCCGCACGCUUAACGUUACGAUGACAGUUUUAUUAUGAGUUUAUAAGUUUUGAUGUACCGAAGUUUGUUCGGAGUCCCGGAUGUGAUCACGAACAUGACGAGGAGUCUCGAAAUGGUCGAGACAUAAAGAUUGAUAUAUUGGAAGCCUAUAUUUGGACAUCGGAAAGGUUCCGGGUGAAAUCGGGAUUUUACCGGAACACCGGGGGGUUACCGAAACCCUCCCGGGGGUUAAUGGGCCUUAAUGGGCCAUGAGGGAGAAGAGGAGGGCCAGCCAGGGCAGGCCGCGCGCCCCCUCCCCCCUAGUCCGAAUAGGACAAGGAAGGGGGGGGGCGCCCCCCUUUCCUCUUUCCCCUCCCCCCUUUCAUUCUCCACCAAGGCAAGAGGGGGGAGUCCUACUCCCGGUGGGAGUAGGACUCCUCCAGGCGCACCCCAAAGGGGCCGGCCGCGCCUCCCCCUCCCUCCUUUAUAUACCGGGGCAAGUGGGCACCCCAUAACACACAAGUUGAUCUACGGAUCGUUCCUUAGCCGUGUGUGGUGCCCCCCUCCACCAUAUUCCACCUCGGUCAUAUCGUCGCGAAGCUUAGGCGAAGCCCUGCGCCGGUAGAACAUCAUCAUCGUCACCACGCCGUCGUGCUGACGGAACUCAUCCCCAAAGCUUUGCUGGAUCGGAGCCCGGGGACCGUCAUCGAGCUGAACGUGUGCUGAACUCGGAGGUGCCGUACGUUUGGUGCUUGGAUCGGUCGGAUCGUGAAGACGUACGACUACAUCAACCACGUUGUGCUAACGCUUCCGCUUACGGUCUACGAGGGUACGUGGACAACACUCUCCCCUCUCGUUGCUAUGUCAUCACCAUGAUCUUGCGUGUGCGUAGGAAUUUUUUUGAAACUACUACGUUCCCCAACAGCGCUAGGCCGACGGGAAGCUCCACCACCGCCUCCAUCCACUCUCUGCCAUCACCGGCCACUGUCACCAUGGCCGGCACCGGGAGUUCCUCAUCCACACCUGAAGAAGGUAGGUCUACCGUGGAUAUCCAACACAUGCGAUCCCGACGGAUCUAUCAAUGGUAUUAGAGCCUUUCUUGUGUUGAUAUUUUCGGUAAGUAAAAGAAAAGAAAAGUUACUCCUCCCCGCCCAAGAAGCCUAACCCCAGAACAAAAAAAGAGGGGCAAAGAAGGGCAAAGAAAACGCGCCGCCGCAAGGCCGCGCCGUUCCUCUCGAUCCGGAUGCGCAUCGGCAAGUCGAGGCGUCCGGAAGAUGAACCACCGGAGCAAUCAAUUGCUCACCGGAAAAGAAAAUAAAAAAGGGAAAGGGGUCAGCAUCGCGGCCAAAUCCCUCGACGGAGGCGCGCCCGCCGCUAGGGAGGACGCGCGACCGGCGAGGAGGAUGGUCACGACGCGAUCUAGCUGCGAUCCACUUCCUCUCGCUGAGAAGGAAAGGGGGGACCCUUGAUGCAUCUCUCUGUCUCGCGGAAAUGGAGCUGGGAAGGGGAAGGGGAAGGCUCGCGCGGCGCGGCUCGAGCCGUCGCCGGCGGCCGGUGUGACCCCAACCCACCGCAUCGGGAUCUCUAUGCUCUCUCCCUCGCACUCUAUUGCUGGAGUAGAGAAGAGGAAAGGUGGGGGAGGGAGAGAGAUAGGCACGGCGCCGCGCGGUGGCAGCCGUCGCCGGCCACCAGGGCCGGCGGCCGGGCCGUCGCAGCCGCCCCGAGCGGGCGAGAGCGGCGCGAGAGAGGCCAGAGAGGGGGCGCAGGGGCAUAAUGGGCUAAUUCCAUAUAGAUUUUCUAUUCAAAUUAGUCCAACGAAACUUUUCAUUUAGAAAAUAGUAAAGUAAAUAAAAUAGAAAAGUUUUCGAAUAUGAAAAUAAAAAAUUUUCAGAAAAAGAAAAGUUCAUGUAUUUUAUAAAGUAAAAGUUUCUGUAGAAAUAAAAAGUUCAUGUUUUUAUUCGGUCAAAGAAAAGUUUCUGUAGAGAGUAAAAAGUUCGUGAAUUUUUUAUUCAUGUUUUUCCGCUGCAUAAAUAAUUGAUAUUGGUCUUUUACAAAGAAAAUAAAAGUUUAGAAAGAAUUAUGUUUUUAAGAGCAUGUUAAAGUGAUUAUUAAAAUGAAUAUGAUUAUGUUAUUUUUUAUGAACAACGUUGUAAAUACAUUAUCAUGUUUUAUUAUUGAAAUUUAAAGGUGCAUUUAUUUCUAACAUUUUGCCCAACGGUAAUAUAGAUUUAAUUGCAUAGACAAUUGUAUGUUUAAUUUGACCAACGUUAGAUUAAUGCAUAUGAUUGUUAUACUGAUGUCACUUAAAUUGUGAUUUCAGGAGGCCAUCACUUGAUGAAUUUCCUAAAAGAAGUUCCGACACUCAUAUGUGACAACCACACUGAGUGGAGGAAGAAAGUAGAAGUGGCAUUUGUUUGUGCUGAUCUGGAUUGGGUUGUGGAAGAACCACAGCCAGUCAGACCCACAGAGCCAGUAAGAGAGGCCACUAAUGAUGAUGCUGCAUGGUCUAAAAAGAGGGGGGACUAUGCUCCUUUGGAGAUGUCCUACCUCAUAGGGACGAAAAUUAGGUCAAUGCAAACAAAAAGUGCAUGUCAUUUAUAAAGAAUACAAUCAAGAGCACCAUUAUGGGCUCCAUUGCAGAGUGCGCUUGCGCAGGGGAUUUGCUUACAAAGAUAAAGAGCUAGUUCAUUGGCUCUUCAAAGAUAUAUGCCACCCAGGUGUUAGAGCAACUGGUGACAGAAUGCUACACAGGUGGUAGUCAUGGAAUAAGAGAGCACAUCCUUAGGAUGAGCAAUAUGGCAGCAAAGCUAAAGCCCAUGGAUGAGGAUCUGAAGAUCAAACCAAAGCUCCUGGUCCACCUGAUCAUGGCUUCACUGCCAAAGGAGUUUGAAACUUUUGUUGUAAACUAUAAUAUGUCACCUGGAACAUGGGACAUUGAAAAGACAAUAGCAAUGUGUGUCCAAGAAGAGGACAAACUCAAAGCUGCACAUGGUCGUUCACUCAACUAUGUGAAGGAUCACAAGAAAAAGAAUUACAAUCAAAACAACAAAAGUUCUCCUUCAAAGCAUGGAAAAGCCCUCUAUCAGCAUCAGCAUCAGCAACAACCUGUCUUAGUGGACAAAGACACUUGUCUCCACUGCAAGAAGAAAGGGCAUUACAAGAAAGACUGCGCUGCUUGGCUGAAGUCAGUCAUGGCAAGAAGAGGUAACAAUAUAGUCUCAUUUGUCAAUGAAUCCUUGUAUACACAAUUUUCAAAAUCCACUUGGUGGAUUGAUUCAGGAGCAACUGUUCAUGUUGCAAAUUCUUUACAGGGAUUCCAUUAGACGUGGACUACGCUAAGAAGUGAAAGACGCAUUGAAGUGGCAAACGGAGUUGAAGCGGAAGUUGAAGCUGUCGGUGACAUCUCCUUGGAGUUAGCUGACAGAUUCAAUCUUCUACUUAGAGAUGUUUUAUUUGUUCCAUCAUGUCAUAGAAAGUUAAUUAGUGUUUCUUGUUUGGACAAAGAUAAUUAUGAAUGUUAUUUUGGACAUGGCAAGUGUGCCAUAUGGUUAAAUAAUGCUUAUGUGGGUGAUGCUUUACUACAUGAUGAGCUUUAUUUGUUAUCACUUCGUGAAAAAGUUUAUUCUGUAUGCAAUGUGAAAGAACAUGUUUCCGUGUCGAAUAAAGAACAAAAGAAAAGAAAGAGAACAUUCGACUCAUCAAAAUUAUGGCACUGUCACUUGGGCCAUAUUUCCAAGGGGAGAGUUAGUCAAGAGUGAAAUUAUUCCUCUGUUAGAAUUCUCAGACUUAGAACAAUGCAUAGAUUGCAUUAAAGGAAAGUAUAUAAAACAAAUCAAAAAAGGUGCCAUCCAUAGAACAGGCACACUAGAAAUCAUCCACACUGACAUUUGUGGACCAUUUCUAGUGAAAAGUGUGGAUGGAUAUGACUCGUUCAUAACAUUCACAGAUGAUUACUCUCGCUAUGGAUAUAUUUAUCCAAUCAAAGAAAAAUCUGGAGCGUUGGAUAAAUUUAAAAUAUUUAAAGCUGAAGUUGAAAAUCAGCAUGAUAAAAGAAUAAAGAUAGUCAGGUCCGACCGUGGGGGAGAGUACUACGGUCGGCACACACCAUAUGGCCAAUUCCCUAGACCUUUUGCAAAGUUCUUGCAGGAGACUGGCAUAGUAGCCUAGUAUUCAAUGCCGGACGAGUCUCAGCAAAAUGGAGUAGCUGAAAGGCGCAACCGUACACUUAUGGAUAUGGUGCGCAGUAUGAUGAGUUAUUCCAACUUGCCAUUGGGAUUAUGGAUGGAGGCGCUUAAAACCGCCAUUCACAUUCUCAAUAGAGUAUCAAGCAAGUCGGUGCCCAAAACACCGUGCGAGCUAUGGACAGGAAGGGUGCCAUCCUUACAACACUUCAGCGUGUGGGGGUGCCCUGCUGAGGCCAAAAUGUUUAAUCCAAACAUUGCAAAGUUAGAUCCCAAAACAGUGAGUUUCCACUUCAUUGGCUAUCCAGACAGAUCAAAGGGUUUUCGUUUCUACUGCCCAGACAGAUAUACAAAGUUUGUAGAAACGAGACAUGCAGUCUUCUUAGAGGAUGUAAUGAUGAGAGGGAGCUUGGUAGCUCGGAAAAUUGAUCUUGAAGAGAAGAGGGUGCAUGCACCUAAUCCGAUGAUUCAGGAGCCAUUUUUCUCACUACCAGUUGCAACUCCACCCAUGACAACUGUGUGAGUAGACCCGGAACCUGUCCGUCAGGAGCCGACUGCACCCGUUGUUGAGCAUGAAAGGGAGGUGCAGCAGCAAAUUUUAGAAGAAGUGCCAGAAGUCGAGGCACAUAAUGUGCCAGAAACAGAGGCCCUUAGAAGGUCUACAAGACCAAGAAAGUCAGCUAUUUCUACUGACUUUAAAGUUUAUAACACAGAAAUGGUUCAUAUGGAAAAAGAUCCCACCUCAUAUGAAGAAGCCAUGAGAAGUCCUCAUUCAUCAAAGUGGAUGAAGGCAAUGGAAGACAAGAUGAAAUAGAUGAGUUCCAAGGAUGUUUGAGACUUAGAGGAAAUUCCUAAAAGAGCCAAGACAGUAGGCUGCAAAUGGGUCUACAAAAUCAAGUAUGACUCUAAAGGAAAUGUAGAAAAGUAUAAAGCACGACUCGUGGCAAAAGGAUUUACACAAAGAGAAGGGAUAGAUUACAAUGAGAAAUUUUCUCUGGUCUCAUGUAAGGAUUCCUUCAGAAUCAUAAUGGCAUUAGUUGCUCAUUUUGAUUUGAAGUUACAUCAAAUGGAUGUAAAGAAGACAUUUCUCACCGGAGAUUUAAAGGAAAAUGUCUACAUGAAACAGCCCAAGGGUUUUAUCAUGGAAGGCAAGGAAAAUAUGGGAUGCCGCCUAACACUAGUAAAAAAGGGGGCAUCAGUCCCGGUUGGUAAGGCCCUUUAGUCCCGGUUUUUGAACCGGGACUAAAGGGCCGUUACUAAUGCCUCCCACCUUUAGUCCCGGUUCAAACUGGAAUCGGGACUAAAGGUCGCGGCCACGUGGAGCUCCACCUUUAGUCCCGGUUGGUAACACCAACCGGGACUAAAGGAAAUUUUAUGAUUUUUUUUUGAAUUUUUAUUUUCUUUUUAUUUUCAAAUUUUUGAAUUAUUGUAACCACUAAUCUCUAAUCACCACCCCUCAUCACUGCUCAAUUUAUCCUUUAAUCUGUAAUCACCCCUCCUCAUUCCUAAUCAUCCAACUUCCCGAAUGGUCACCCAUCCUCCAACUCCCCCAGCCUGAGCACGCUUAACUUCCGGGUUCUAUUCUCCCUCGUUUCCAAGUCUGCACUUGUUGUUUUCCUGACAAUAGUAAGAUGUCAAUCCUAUUAACCCUCAGGAAUUUUGCGUGAGCAUGAAGUGACACAUUUCAUUGUUUGAGUUUGAAACUAUUGUUUUAAAAAACAAUAAUUAUUUAGUAACACUAAUAUUUCUUGAAUAAUUAGUUUGACCAUUGUUUGACCAUUGUUUGACCACAGUUUGACCAGAUUUGACCAAAAUCCAAAAUAACUGAAAUAAUUAUUUAGUAACACUAAUAUUCUAGAAUAAUUAGUUUGACCAUUAUUUGACCAUUGUUUGACCAUAGUUUGAAAUUUUUUCGAUUUUUUCCACUCUAGAUCUUAAAAGCCCCGUAACUUUUUUUCUGUUAGUUUUUUGAGGAUUUUGAAAAUGUUUAACGGGGUUCCCAUGGGAAACUUAUUUUUUUUUAUUUUUUUGACAUUUUCAUCAUUUUCUUUUAUUUUUUUAAACUGAAAAGGCGAUCCACACGCGGGCGGGGCGUGGGGGGGUGGAGUUUGAAAAUGUGACCUUUAGUACCGGUUCGUGCCAUGAACCGGUACUAAUGCCUCAAACCCCAUUAGUACCGGUUGGUACCACGAACCGGUACUAAUGGACAUCGCACCCUUUAGUCCCGGUUCGUGGCACCAACCGGGACUAAAAGGUCCAAACGAACUGGAACAAAUUGCCCACGUGGCCCCUGGGUGCACGAACCGGGACUAAUGCCACCAUUAGUCCCGGUUCUGGACUGAACCGGGACUAAUGGGCUAACCCGGGAUGGACCAAAGCCCUCUUUUCUACUAGUGUAAAGAAAUCCAUUUGUGGAUUAAAGCAAGCCUCUAGACAGUGGUAUCUAAAGUUUAAUCAAACGAUUAAAAGUUUUGGAUUUAAAGAAAAUAUUGAGGAUAACUGCAUUGAUGCAAAGUUUAAAAAUGGGAAAUAUAUUUUCCUAAUCUUGUAUGUGGAUGACAUUCUGCUUGCUAGCAGUGAUGUUAGUCUACUACAAGAAACAAAGAAGUUCUUAUUCUCAAAUUUUGACAUAACAGAUCUUGGUGAAGCAUCCUAUGUUUUGGGCAUAGAAAUUCACCGAGAUAGAAACAACGGAGUCUUAGGACUAUCGCAGAAAGCAUAUUUAGAAAAGGUUCUUAAAAAGUAUAAUAUGCAUGCGAGUAAAGCCACACCUGCUCCUAUAGAGGGCGAUAGUUUUGGGAAAUUCCAAUGUCCCAAGAACCAGUACGAGAUCGAUCAAAUGAAAGGAGUACCAUAUGCUUCGGCAGUUGGCAGCUUACAGUAUGCACAAGUGUGCACUCGACCUGACUUAGCCUUUAUCACCAGGGUACUUGGUAGAUAUCAAGAGAAUCCAGGCAUAGAGCACUGGAAGAUGGUAAAGAAAGUAUUGCGUUAUGCGCAAGGCAUGAAGGACUACAUGCUAAUAUACAGGAGAAGUGAUUCCCUAGAGAUAAAAGGGUAUUCAGACGCAGAUUUUGUGGGGGACAAAGAUGAUAGAAAAUCCACAUCAGGGUACGUAUUCACCCUCGCUGGGGGAGCUAUUUCGUGGAAAAGCUCCAAACAGUCGAUAGUUGCAUCAUCCAUGAUGUAUGCAGAAUUCAUAGCAUGCUUCGAAGCCACGGGGCAGGCGAUAUGGCUAAUGAAAUUUGUACCCGACUUGAAAGUGGUAGACUGUAUUCAGAAACCACUAAAGAUGUAUUGCGACAAUCAGCCCGCGGUAUUUUACGCUCACAACAACAAGUCGAGUAAUGCUGCCAAAACAAUAGAGAUAAGGUAUUAUGUUGUGAAAGAUAAAAUCCAGGAUCAAACUAUAAGGCUCGAGCAUAUAAGAACAAAAGAUAUGCUUGCGGAUCCGCUAACGAAAGGCUUACCACCCAAUGUGUUCAAGGAACACUUAGCCGGCAUGGGUUUAAGGGAAAGCCUUAUGAUUCCUGGAUAGGCCCAAAAGGAACAUAAUUUGUUUCUGAACAAAACGUAUGUUGUAGCUGAAUGAUUCUAUCAACAAUUGAGCUGUGACGAUGAAACAUGCUCUAUGUACCAAUAUGUGAUGAAACAAAUAAACUAGAAAGUAUAAGGUUAAAAGUAAAGUUGAGAUCAAGCGGGAGAAUGUUAGGUUGAUCUCUCUCUCGUUCGAACCCUGAUCGGGGGCGCCCAACCAAACCAUGGUUGGUGGGCCCCUGUCACCAGCGCAAUAUAAAGAGGUGGGGUGCCAGGGCACGCAUCACGAGGUUGACCGUCCACCACAACACUACCAAGACACCAAUCCGAUCUAGGGUUGCGCUAGGCCGACGGGAAGCUCCACCACCGCCGCCAUCCACUCUCUGCCAUCACCGGCCACCGUCACCAUGGCCGGCACCGGGAGUUCCUCAUCCGCACCUCGAGAAGGCAGGUCUACCGUGGAUAUCCUACACAUGCGAUCCCGACGGAUCUAUCAGAACACUCAUCUGGGAUAUUGUUUCGGAAUGCUCGAAACUCGACACAACACCAGUCAUGGGAAGUGGUCACACUUGAUGACCGGAAGCAGCGAGCCAAUGAGCUAUUGUCCCCAAAUGGAAUAGGAGAUUUUACUCUAACGGGCGGGUGACCUAGUAAAUAUAGAAUCCCACGAUGCCGAGGAAUAUAUAUAAUUUUUUACUUCUCUAACCAUUAUAUGUGCUCGGCUACGUGUCAGUAAGAGAACUAAACUGAACUUUAUACUCCUCUAACCAUUUCCAGGGGAUCAGCUAGAGAUACCUAACGGCGGCAUCCAGUGUAAAAACAAAUGCAUUGUGCUAUUGAAAUGUUGUGCUACUAUUGUUAGGUUGAUCUCUCUCCCGAUUCGAAUCCAAUGGGUCGAACGGGCCCCUGACUCGCGCCCUAAUCGGGGACGCCCAACCAAAUCAUGGUUGGUGGGCCCCUGUCGCCAGCGCAAUAUAAAGAGGUGGGGAUGCCGGGGCACGCAUCACGAGGUUAACCGUGCACCACAACACCACCAACACACCAAUCCGAUCUAGGGUUGCGCUAGGCCGACGGGAAGCUCCACCACCGCCGCCAUCCACUCUCUGCCAUCACCGGCCACCGUCACCAUGGCCGGCACCGGUAGUUCCUCAUCCGCACCUGGAGAAGGUAGGUCUACCGUGGAUAUCCAACACAUGCGAUCCCGACGGAUCUAUUAGAACACUCAUCUGGGAAAUUGUUUUGGCAUGCUCAAAACUCAGCACAGCACCAGUCAUGGGCAGUGGUCACACUUGAUGAUCGGCAGCGGCGAGCCAACGAGUUGUUGUCCCCAAAUGGAAUAGGAGUUUUUGCUCUAACGGGUGGGUGACCUAGUAAAUAUAGAAUCCCACGAUGCCGACGAGUAUAUAUAAUUUUUUACUUCUCUAACCAUUAUAUGUGUUCAGCUAUGUGUCAAUUAGAGAAGUAAAUUGAACCUUAUACUCCUCUAACCGUUUCCAGGGGAUCAGCUAGAGAUACCUAACGGCGGCAUCCAAUGUAAAAACAAAUGCAUUGUGCUAUCGAAAUGUUGUGCCACUAUUGUUAGGUUGAUCUCUCUCCCGUUCGAACCCAACGGCUCGAACGGGCCCCUGACUCGCGCCCUGAUCGGGGGCGCCCAACCAAACCAUGGUUGAUGGGCCCCUGUCGCCAGCCCCAAUAUAAAGAGGUGGGGUGCCGGGGCACGCAUCACGAGGUUGACCGUGCACCACAACACCACCAACACACCAAUCCGAUUCAGGGUUGCGCUAGCCGACGGGAAGCUCCACCACCGCCGCCAUCUACUCUCUGCCAUCACCGGCCACCGUCACCAUGGCCGGCACCGGGAGUUCCUCAUCCGCACCUGGAGAAGAUAGGUCUACCGUGGAUAUCCAACACAUGCGAUCCCGACGGAUCUAUCAGAACACUCAUCUGGGAUAUUGUUUCGGCAUGCUCGAAACUCGGCACAGCACCAAUCAUGGGCAGUGGUCACACUUGAUGACCGGCAGCAGCGAGCCAACGAGCUGCUGUCCCCAAAUGGAAUAGGAGUUUUUGCUCUAACGGGUGGGCGACCUAGUAAAUAUAGAAUCCCACGAUGCCGAGGAUUAUAUAUAAUUUUUUUACUUCUCCAACCAUUAUAUGUGUUCGGCUACGUGUCAAUUAGAGAAGUAACCCCAGCCCACCAGGGUUCAAGUCCUGGUGGUCGCAUUUAUUCCUGGAUUUAUUUCAGGAUUUCCGGCGAUGCGCAUUCAGUGAGAGGAGACGUUCUCGUCGACGACGAGGCGCCUACUGUGACAUCGUAAAUUUCAAGAUGAUAUGUCGGCUCAGUCUUUCAGAGGUGCUCAUAGGGGUAGGGUGUGCGUGUGUGUGUUCAUAGGGGUAAGUGUAUGCGCGUGUAUAUGAGUGCUUCCGUCUGUACUGAUGUUAAAAAAAAAGUAGAGAAGUAAACUGACUUUAUACUCCUCUAACCGUUUUCAGGGGAUCAGCUAGAGAUACCUAACGGCGGCAUCCAAUGUAAAAGCAAAUGCAUGGUGCUAUCGAAAUGUUGUGCCACUAGCUGGCAUGCAUUAUUGUAUUAUUUUGGUUGCAUGCAUGAACUAGGCAGUAUUGUCGUAAUGAUUCCACGUCCACAGCAGCAAUUACCAGUGCCGCAAAUGGAAUGGACUGGCGUGUGGUUGUGGACGGUAGCUGGCAUCCAAUAAUUACCAUGGAAAUGCAUGCACGAGGGCGCGGGAGCUAAAACGUGCUACCGGGCCAGCCUGACAAAGAUGCGUGGUUUCCUGUGCGAAGCCCAUGACCAUGAGACGAAACGGAAACGAUAUCACAUGCCGCACCGGACCCUCUCCUCUCUCUCCUCUCUAACGAGAAAGUAACAGCUCAGCUGGGCCGCGCGCCUGCGGCUCCUCGACACGUCUCAUCGCAUGCAGGCUCGCCAGUGCGUCGCUGCGUACAGUAUAUGUUAGGAGCACACCAAGGUUCAAGAAGCACAUCACCAAGCUUGCAAGGAAGGGCCUCCCAUCAUCUGACGUACGUACGGUGAGUCUCCCCUCUCUUGGGGCUUCUUCAUCUUCUUUCUUGUGUUUCUUUCUUGCUCAUCUCUUCCAAUCUGUAGCUUGGAUCCAUGGACAUGGACUCCCCGCAGAAGAAGCUUGGAUCCGUGGACGGCGGCAAGACGCCUCCUCUGCUGCUUGCGGCCCAGCUGGCCAAGAAGGCGAUAGCCGCUUCUCCGUUCCCGGACGCACACCCGAUGGCCAGCGCUUGGGCGUUCGUCACCGCCUGGUUCUUCCCCGUCUCCAUCGUCUUGGGCUCCGCCAUCGACCUUCUACUCUGCAGCCAGGUACGUAAUAAUUAACUAGGACUACGACCCGUACUUCUACUCUACUUCUACUAUACCCCCCGGCUCUGGCUGGAUGGAUGCGCCAACUUUGUCUUCGUCUUCCUGCAGCUGCUGUGGUGCCUACUGGAGCGCGAGGGGGGCACGCCCAUAGACAGUGCCCUCUGGAUCGCGCUGUGGUGCUGCCCCGCACUCCAGGCGGUCGUGGCGGCGCUGGCUCUGCUGCUCCCGUCCCGCCACCGCCGGAUCCGCCGUGCCCUUGCCUACCUCGCGGUCUCGGUCGCCAUCGUCGGCCAUUCUUUGAUGGCCAGCCUCAUCCCCCUCUCUGUCGCUGCCCAUCCAGGGACAGGGCUAGGAUACCUCCUGCUCAUCGUCUUGUUCAUCUGCGCCGCGGCGGCGCUGGCGCAGCUGCUCCCGUGCCUCCUGAUGGGGUUAUGUACCUAGGGUAGGGUCAUGGACCUGAUCUAAAUACCUUAUCCAAGGACAUCCUUAGAAGAGGUCGCCUUCCAGUCGACCAACGAAGGACUCACUCGACUGACUUGAAGGACUCGACCACGAAGACUCACUCAACCACCAGGAGGUCAAGAGGCACUCUGCACUGCAACGGCCUGUAAUAAAGUAGGCUUUAUUACAGUAAAGACACUUUAUGUGGGGCGUUACCAGUAACGCCCCAGACUUAACUCACCUUAAACCCUCUCCUACGUGGGCUGGCUGGGGUCCUGGCGCACUCUAUAUAAGCCACCCCCCUCCACAGGAAGAAGGGUUCGGCACCUUGUAACUCAUAUACUCUUAAUCCACUCGACCGCCUCCGGACUCCGAGACGUAGGGCUAUUACUUCUUCCGAGAAGGGCCUGAACUCGUACAUCCCUUGUGUUUACAACCUCUCCAUAGCUAGGACCUUGCCUCUCCAUACCUACCCCCCACUCUACUGUCAGGCUUAGAACCACGACAGUUGGCGCCCACCGUGGGGCAGGUGUUUUAGCGAUUUUGUGGAGAAGUUGCGAUUCUUCCGAGUACUUUCAUCAUGGUGUCUGCUGGAGUUUUGGUCGAGAGUCGAGAGAUCCGUCUCGGCACUCUCACCUUCAUCGCCGACGACUCCGCGUGGCUCCAGGAGGCUCCACUCGACGUUGAUGCGCUUCCCGUUCGCGGUGCGACGCAUUUUCGCGCAUGUGUCCGCGGCGUUCUGCUGCGGCAACCGUCAACCCCGUAUCGGUCGGCUCCUCCAUCGUCCACCCUCCCGGUCUCCCGCCAGCGCAAGCGCUCGGGCCGGCCGAGGCUUCAGCGAUGGGUGAGGCACGCGGUGGCUCGCCAAUCGGCCACCACCCAAGUUGUGGCAAUCGAGCCCGACGAAUCUCUCUACGGCUUGUUCGAUCUGUCGACUGGCUCCGUAGAGACUGCAUCCGAGUGCGGUAGCAGUGAUCCAGCGGCGGAAAUCUUGAUGGUCGACGGGCCCCGCAGUCCCCCUGGCUUCGCCCGUGAUGGUGGAGCAGGUGACGGAGGCGACCCCGCACGAGGCCACGAAGAGUACCAGCCCGAGCCACUCGACUCUCUGCAAAGAGAGGAACUUCGCCGCAGGAACGUGGAUGCCCUGCGUACUCCUAUCACAGGAGAAACCCCCGAGGCUCGUGCCUUAGAGGAGGCACGUUUGGCCAAUUUGGCCGAACGCACUCGACUGGAGAAUCUUCAGCGAGCACUUGACGAGCGCGCGCGGCAACGAGUUCCCGACACCAGUCGACGUCAACUCUUCCCGCCGACUCAGGUAUAUCGAACCCCAAUCCAGAAUUUAGCAGCUGCGACCCGUAUAGCAGAGUCCAUCCAGCCUUCGCAGUCGGAAGCUGGCAGAGGUUUGCUGCAGAUCAGGGAUCUGCUCCGGGCAGCAGGAGAUCAGAAUUCAGCCGUGUCUCAGUCGCGCAACAGAAUUCACAGUCGAUCCGUCACUGCGAAUACGGUUCAGUCGGCUCACAGUCCCAGAUCGCCUCCGCGGCGUGAAGGGCGCGAGAAUCGGCGAGAUCAAUAUGGCGACCGACUCGACCGAGAUGAUAGGCGUCGAGUGCCCAAUUCCCCUCCGAGGGGUGGGUCUUACGCUCCUCGGUGGCAAGAUGACAGGCGUCAGUACAGUACCGGGCGAAGGGUUCCAGUCGACCCCAGAGAACCAGGCUUCGACGCGCGAUCCAUUAUCGUGCAAGGUUUGGUCGACCGGAACAGAGCCCAUCGGGGCGGACUCGACAGAGAUGCGCCCACAAGCAGUCGAGUGCAUGUUUCCGGUCCUGAAUGUUUCAGCAGAGCUAUCAGGGCCGCAGUUAUCCCUCCCAAUUUCAGGUUGGCAACAGGAGUCAGCAAGUUCACUGGUGAGUCUAAGCCUGAAACUUGGCUUGAAGACUACCGAGUGGCAGUUCAGAUUGGUGGUGGGAACGACGAGGUGGCCAUGAAGCAUUUGCCCCUCAUGCUGGAAGGUUCUGCCAGGGCAUGGUUGACUCAAUUACCUCCUAGCAGCAUUUACGCUUGGGAAGAUCUGUCCCGAGUGUUCAUCAGAAUGUUUGAAGGAACUUGCAAGCGACCAGCUGGAUUGACAGAGUUGCAAGUCUGCGUGCAGAAGGCUAAUGAGACUCUCAGAGAGUAUAUUCAGAGGUGGAUCACUUUGCACCACACUGUGGAGAACGUGUCUGAUCAUCAGGCAGUCUGCGCCUUCAAAGAUGGCGUCAAGAACAGAGAACUGAGUUUGAAGUUUGGUCGAACCGGUGACAUGACUUUGAGUCGGAUGAUGGAGAUUGCUACCAAGUACGCCAACGGUGAAGAAGAAGACCGACUCCGAAGCGGCAAGCAUAAGCCGAGUCAGUCGGAAAAAGGAAACACCAGUCGGAAACAGAAGCGGAAGGCUGAACCGGCAGCUCCUGGAGAGGCUCUGGCCGUGACUCAGGGAAAGUUUAAGGGGAAACCAAAAGGAUCCUGGAACCCCAAGAAGGUAAAGGAUAAAGAAGGGAACGACGUAAUGGAUAUGCCAUGUCACAUCCACACGAAGAAAGACGAAGAGGGGAAUAUCAUCUACCCGAAGCACACCACUCGCCAAUGUCGACUCCUGAUCCAGCAGUUUCAGGGAAAACAGUCUAAGGACAAGGAGAAGGAGUCGGACAAGGCUGAAGACAAGGAGGACAGUGAGGAAGGAUAUCCGCAUAUCAACUCCACUCUGAUGAUCUUUGCAGAUGUGGAAAUCAGGAGUCGACUGAAAGUCAUUAACCGAGAGGUGAACAUGGUUGCCCCAGCAAAAGCAAAUUAUCUGAAAUGGUCUCAAAUACCCAUCACAUUCGACCAAUCUGAUCACCCGACUCAUAUUGCCACCCCUGGGAGGCAAGCUUUGGUGGUCGAUCCAGUUGUCGAAGGCACUCGACUGACAAAGGUGCUGAUGGAUGGUGGAAGCGGGCUGAAUUUGUUGUAUGCAGACACACUGAAAGGAAUGGGCAUUCCGAUGUCCCGACUGAGCACUAGUAACAUGAGCUUUCAUGGAGUUAUACCAGGGAAGAAAGCCGAGUCACUCGGCCAAAUAGCUUUGGACGUGGUAUUUGGUGAUUCGAAGCAUUUUCGCAAAGAAAAGUUGAUGUUUGAGGUCGUGGAUUUUCAGAGUGCAUAUCAUGCCAUUUUGGGGAGACCAGCUUACGCACGGUUCAUGGCUCGACCAUGCUACGUGUACCUCAAAUUGAAGAUGCCUGGCCCCAAAGGAGUGAUCACUGUCACCGGUGAUCGGAAAAAGGCAGAAGAGUGCUUUCAGAAGGGCUCAAAGAUUGCCGAUUCCCAGGUGACAACGGUCGAGUUCGAGGAAUACAAGCAAAACGCAGAUCCGAGUGACUUGCUGCGAUCAAAGAAACCCGCCACAGAGUCUGCAUUUCAGUCGUCCGGUGAGACGAAGCCUGUUCACAUUCACCCGACCGACCCCGAUGCAGCUCCGACCCGCAUCUCCACAACACUCGACCCAAAAUAGGAAGAAGCGCUCAUCCAGUUCCUCCGUGAGAACUGGGACAUUUUUGCAUGGAAGCCCGCUGACAUGCCAGGUGUUCCCAGGGGACUGGCUGAGCAUCGCCUAAGAGUCGACUCGUCUGCAAAACCAGUCAAAGAGCAUCUUCGGCGGUCCGCCGUCCAGAAGAGAAAAGCCAUUGGUGAAGAAGUGGCUCGACUGUUGGCGGCAGGUUUUAUCCGAGAGAUAUACCACUCCGAGUGGCUCGCUAAUGUCGUCAUGGUUCCUAAGAAGGACAAGUCGCUCCGAAUGUGCAUUGAUUUUAAGCACAUCAACCGGGCCUGCCCGAAAGAUCAUUUUCCUCUCCCUCGCAUAGAUCAAAUUGUUGACUCGACCGCGGGAUGCGAGAGGCUAUCUUUUUUAGAUGCCUACUCCGGGUACCACCAGAUCCGUCUGUACGGACCCGACGAGGUAAAAACAGCUUUCAUCACUCCAUUCGGGUGCUUCUGCUAUAUCACCAUGCCAUUCGACCUCAAGAAUGCCGGAGCCACAUUUAUGCGAAUGAUUCAGAAGUGUCUACUCACUCAAAUCAGUCGGAAUGUGGAAGCAUAUAUGGAUGAUAUCAUUGUCAAGUCACGAAAAGGUUCCGACCUGCUCGCUGAUCUCGCCGAAACAUUUGCCAACCUCAGAAGAUAUGAUAUCAAGCUCAAUCCAUCAAAGUGCACAUUUGGAGUUCCUGGUGGCAAGUUACUCGGUUUUCUCGUUUCCGAACGGGGAAUCGACGCUGACCCAGAGAAGAUUGGCACUAUUCUCCGAAUGAAACGCCCUGUGCGAGUGCACGAUGUCCAGAAGCUUACUGGAUGCUUGGCCGCAUUAAGUCGAUUCAUCUCACGACUCGGUGAAAAGGCAUUGCCUCUUUACCGACUGAUGAAGAAGACAGACAAGUUCGAGUGGACUCCAGAAGCUGAUGCAGCGUUUGCCGAGCUAAAAGCUCUGCUCUCCACCCAGCCGGUGCUUGCUGCUCCAGUCAGCAAAGAGCCUCUGUUGCUCUAUAUCGCAGCCACAGGACAAGUUGUCAGUACUGUGCUUACGGUCGAGCGGGAAGAAGAAGGAAAAGUUCUCAAAGUUCAGCGCCCAGUGUAUUAUUUGUCUGAAGUCUUGACUCCAUCCAAGCAGAGAUAUCCUCAUUAUCAGAAGCUUGUGUAUGGAAUAUACAUGACCACAAAGAAGGUUGCUCAUUAUUUUUCUGAUCAUUCCAUCACAGUCGUCAGCGACGCUCCACUAUCAGAGAUUUUGCACAACAGAGAUGCAACUGGUCGAGUGGCCAAAUGGGCGAUUGAACUUCUUCCCCUUGAUAUCAAGUUUGAGGCAAAGAAAGCCAUUAAGUCCCAGGCAAUAGCAGAUUUCCUCGCCGAGUGGAUUGAACAACAGCAGCCGACUGAAGUUCACUCGGAGCAUUGGACCAUGUUCUUUGAUGGCUCUAAGAUGUUGAAUGGUUCCGGUGCUGGGGUUGUCCUGGUUUCCCCCAGAGGAGAUAAGCUCAGAUAUGUGCUCCAGAUUCACUUUGAUUCCUCCAACAAUGAGGCAGAAUAUGAGGCCCUCUUAUAUGGGUUGCGCAUGGCCAUUUCACUCGGCGUCCGUCGCCUGAUGGUCUAUGGCGACUCGGAUUUAGUGGUCAACCAGGUGAUGAAAGAGUGGGACGUGAGAAGCCUAGCCAUGACUGGAUACUGCAGUGCAAUGAGGAAGCUGGAAAAGAAGUUCGAGGGGUUGGAGCUCCAUCAUAUACCCCGACUGAAAAAUCAAGCAGCUGAUGAUCUAGCAAAGAUAGGUUCCAAGAGAGAAGCCAUUCCGAGUGGUGUGUUCUUGGGGCAUAUACACACUCCGUCAGUCAAAGAAGAUCCUUUCACCGAAGAAACUCCACAGCCCAAGAGUGCCACAGAUCCGACUGAAGUUGAAGUCCCAGCGGUGGUCGACUUGAUCAUGGAGGUUUUGGUGGUCAUUCCCGACUGGACAGUUCCGUAUGUCGCAUAUAUCCUGAGAAAAGAGCUUCCGGAGGAUGAGGAAGAGGCUCGACAGAUCGUCCGUCGAUCUAAGGCCUUUACCGUAAUCAAAGGACAAUUAUACAGAGAAAGCGCGACUGGAGUUGGUCAGAAGUGCAUAACACCAGAAGAAGGUCGACUCAUCCUCAAUGAUAUUCACUCGGGGACCUGUGGUCAUCAUGCGUCCUCUCGGACCAUCGUGGCCAAAGCAUACCGAGCCGGAUUUUACUGGCCAAAGGCGAAUGAGAUGGCAAAAGAGAUAGUGGAUAAGUGCGAGGGAUGUCAGUUCUACUCGAAUAUGUCGCACAAGCCUGCGUCAGCUCUGAAGACCAUCCCACUCGUCUGGCCUUUCGCAGUAUGGGGACUGGACAUGGUCGGUCCUUUGAGAACAGGACGAAGUGGCUUCACGCAUGUACUGGUGGCAGUCGACAAGUUCACCAAGUGGAUCGAGGCUAAACCAAUCAAGAGCCUUGACACCGGUACUGCUGUUAGCUUCAUCAGGGAACUAAUAUUCAGAUAUGGAGUCCCGCACAGCAUCAUUACGGAUAAUGGGUCGAACUUUGACUCAGAGGAAUUCAGAGAUUUCUGCAACUCCCAAGGCACACGGGUCGACUACGCUUCAGUCGCCCAUCCGCAGUCGAAUGGACAAGCAGAGCGAGCUAAUGGACUGAUUCUUAAGGGAUUGAAGCCUCGACUGAUGCGUGAUCUCAAACACGCGGCUGGAGCUUGGGUCGACGAACUUCCCUCAGUGCUUUGGGGGCUGCGGACCACACCUAAUCGGUUGACCGGAAGAACUCCAUUCUUCUUGGUCUACGGAGCUGAAGCAGUCUUGCCGAGUGAUCUUCUCCACAAUGCUCCUCGAGUUGAAAUCUACAACGAAGCAGAGGCUGAACAAGCGUGGCAGGACGCAGUCGACCUUUUAGAGGAAGAAAGGGAGAUGGCUCUGAUCCGGUCGACCAUCUACCAACAUGAUUUGCGUCGUUUCCACGCCAGAAAUGUGAGAGGUCGAGCCUUCCAGGAAGGGGAUUUAGUUCUCCGAGUGGAUCAGCACAAACCACACAAGCUUGCUCCUUCUUGGGAAGGCCCCUUCAUCGUCACCAAGGUUCUCCACAACGGGGCGUACCGUCUUUACAACGUCAAGCAUAAUAUCGACGAGCCCCGAGCUUGGAACGCGGAGCUACUCCGCCCAUUUUACACUUAAGUUUUAUCACUCGGAUGAGUUGCAAUAAAGUACUUCUGUAGUUCAUGGACCUCAAAAUAAUAGUGUCAUAGUUCCUCCAUAAUUUCUGUCACUUCUUAUUUUUGUCCAAAUAAAAUUCCCCCUCAGUGGGUGACUUAGCCGCGAAUCCGUUUCGCCUAAGUUUGUAAAAAUCCUACCGAGUGAAGAGCGGCCCUCUCACUCGGAGGCUUAGCUGCGAAUCCGUUUCGCCUAAGUUAUCAAAAUCCUACCGAGUGGUAAGCCAGACUUUCACUCGGGGGCUUAGCUGCAGCCCUGUGCUCGCCUAAGUUGUAAAAAAUCCUACCGAGUGAAGAGCAAGCCUCUCACUCGGGGGCUUAGCUGCAGUCCAAGCACUCGCCUAAGUUACAAAAAUCCUACCGAGUGGAGAGCAACCCUCUCACUCGGGGGCUUAGCUACAGUCCAAGCACUCGCCUAAGUUACAAAAAUCCUACCGAGUGAAGAGCGACCCUCUCACUCGGAGGCUUAGCUGCAGUCCAAGCACUCGCCUAAGUUACAAAAAUCCUACCGAGUGAAGAGCGACCCUCUUGCUCGGAGGCUUAGCUGCANNNNNNNNNNNNNNNNNNNNNNNNNNNNNNNNNNNNNNNNNNNNNNNNNNNNNNNNNNNNNNNNNNNNNNNNNNNNNNNNNNNNNNNNNNNNNNNNNNNNNNNNNNNNNNNNNNNNNNNNNNNNNNNNNNNNNNNNNNNNNNNNNNNNNNNNNNNNNNNNNNNNNNNNNNNNNNNNNNNNNNNNNNNNNNNNNNNNNNNNNNNNNNNNNNNNNNNNNNNNNNNNNNNNNNNNNNNNNNNNNNNNNNNNNNNNNNNNNNNNNNNNNNNNNNNNNNNNNNNNNNNNNNNNNNNNNNNNNNNNNNNNNNNNNNNNNNNNNNNNNNNNNNNNNNNNNNNNNNNNNNNNNNNNNNNNNNNNNNNNNNNNNNNNNNNNNNNNNNNNNNNNNNNNNNNNNNNNNNNNNNNNNNNNNNNNNNNNNNNNNNNNNNNNNNNNNNNNNNNNNNNNNNNNNNNNNNNNNNNNNNNNNNNNNNNNNNNNNNNNNNNNNNNNNNNNNNNNNNNNNNNNNNNNNNNNNNNNNNNNNNNNNNNNNNNNNNNNNNNNNNNNNNNNNNNNNNNNNNNNNNNNNNNNNNNNNNNNNNNNNNNNNNNNNNNNNNNNNNNNNNNNNNNNNNNNNNNNNNNNNNNNNNNNNNNNNNNNNNNNNNNNNNNNNNNNNNNNNNNNNNNNNNNNNNNNNNNNNNNNNNNNNNNNNNNNNNNNNNNNNNNNNNNNNNNNNNNNNNNNNNNNNNNNNNNNNNNNNNNNNNNNNNNNNNNNNNNNNNNNNNNNNNNNNNNNNNNNNNNNNNNNNNNNNNNNNNNNNNNNNNNNNNNNNNNNNNNNNNNNNNNNNNNNNNNNNNNNNNNNNNNNNNNNNNNNNNNNNNNNNNNNNNNNNNNNNNNNNNNNNNNNNNNNNNNNNNNNNNNNNNNNNNNNNNNNNNNNNNNNNNNNNNNNNNNNNNNNNNNNNNNNNNNNNNNNNNNNNNNNNNNNNNNNNNNNNNNNNNNNNNNNNNNNNNNNNNNNNNNNNNNNNNNNNNNNNNNNNNNNNNNNNNNNNNNNNNNNNNNNNNNNNCCUACCGAGUGAAGAGCGACCCUCUCGCUCGGAGGCUUAGCUGCAGUCCAAGCACUCGCCUAAGUUACAAAAAUCCUACCGAGUGAAGAGCGACCCUCUCGCUCGGAGGCUUAGCUGCAGUCCAAGCACUCGCCUAAGUUAUAAAAAUCCUACCGACUGAAGAGCAACCCUCUCACUCGGAGGCUUAGCUGCAGCCCUGUGCUCGCCUAAGUUACAAAAAUCCUACCGAGUGAAGAGCGACCCUCCCACUCGGAGGCUUAGCUGCAUCCCAGUGCUAGCCUAAGUUAUCAAAAUCCUACCGAGCAAAGAGUAAACCUCUCACUCGGGGGCUUAGCUGCGGCCCAGUGCUCGCCUAAGUUAUAGAAAUCCUACCGAGUGGUAAGCCGGGCUUCCACUCGGAGGCUUAGCCGCAGCCCAGUGCUCGCCUAAGUGGACUAAAGAAUAAGUCGAUUGCAGUAAAGGCGCCUUGCUUUGAACCUGCAAAAGACAUUUCGAUCCAAAGGCAAUCAUAUUCAAGCACCAAAUUCAAGUUUGAAUCGAUAUCUAAAGGAACCGAAAGUGCUCAGGCGUUAAGCCUGUUAAGGUUUAUCGGUUACAAUUCCACUCGGCAUACCGAGGCAAAUUUAAAGCGUCGAGCCAGAAGAAGUUUUUUACCCCUCCUGUGGAGGGCUGGAAGGUGCAACGAAUUCAUCAANNNNNNNNNNGACCCUCUCACUCGGAGGCUUAGCUGCAGUCCAAGCACUCGCCUAAGUUAUAAAAAUCCUACCGAGUGAAGAGCAACCCUCUCACUCGGAGGCUUAGCUGCAGCCCUGUGCUCGCCUAAGUUACAAAAAUCCUACCGAGUGAAGAGCAAACCUCUCACUCGGGGGCUUAGCUGCAGCCCAGUGCUCGCCUAAGUUAUAAAAAUCCUACCGAGUGAAGAGCAACCCUCUCACUCGGAGGCUUAGCUGCAGCCCAGUGCUAGCCUUAGUUAUCAAAAUCCUACCGAGUGAAGAGUAAACCUCUCUCUCGGGGGCUUAGCUGCGGCCCAGUGCUCGCCUAAGUUAUAGAAAUCCUACCGAGUGGUAAGCCGGGCUUCCACUCGGAGGCUUAGCCGCAGCCCAGUGCUCGCCUAAGUGGACUAAAGAAUAAGUCGAUUGCAGUAAAGGCGCCUUGCUUUGAACCUGCAAAAGACAUUUCGAUCCAAAGGCAAUCAUAUUCAAGCACCAAAUUCAUGUUUGAAUCGAUAUCUAAAGGAACCGAAAGUGCUCAGGCGUUAAGCCUGUUAAGGUUUAUCGGUUACAAUUCCACUCGGCAUACCGAGGCAAAUUUAAAGCGUCGAGCCAGAAGAAGUUUUUUACCCCUCCUGUGGAGGGCUGGAAGGUGCAACGAAUUCGUCAAGGUCAAUUCCGUCGGCGAUCCGAGUGGCAGCUGCAAGGAAAGUUUCCAUAAAGGACCUGAAGUCGUGUUUCUUGGUGUUGGCCACCCGAAGAGCCGCCAGCUUCUCUUCUCGCGCAUCUUUACAGUGGACUCGGGCCAGACACAGAGCAACAUCUGCACCACACCGAGCCGAGGACUUCUUCCAUUCCUGCACUCGACCAGGGAUCGUGUUCAAGCGGGCCAUCAGCGACUCAAGGUCAUUCUGAAGUGUCUCCUCAGGCCAGAGCGUCGAGUCGAUGCGAGAUGUGGCGGCCUUCAGCCUUGCGAGAUAGUCCACGACAGCUGCAACACGAGACUCCAGUCGAAAAACAUCCAUGGCAACUUCGUCGUUCACCGGAGAAUUGACGGGGUCGAGGUUUGGCUCCAGCCGGCUAGUUUCUUCUUCAAAGUUUUGACAAAAUUCUGCAAGGAUGAUCACUAAGUCAAGGGGAUGGUCGAAUGGAAAAACCACAAUUGGAAAUGUUUGCCAAGCAUAGAGGUUUACCUUCAAGCAUAAGAAACAGCUUCUUGGCAAGACCACUCAGGAAGGCCUCCAGAUCAGUUUUCUUCCCAGUCAAUUUGCUGACUUGGUCGGUCAGGGCAGCUUUAUCAGUUUUCAGUCGACUGACCUCCUUGUUGGCGAUCCCAAGAGCAGCUUUCAGAUUGGUAUUGUCUUGUUCAAGCUUGGUGACUGAAGCUAACUUCUCGUCAGCAAGCUUGAUCUUCUCAGCUAGUUCGAGGUCUUUCUUCUGUUGGGCCUCCCUUACCUUACCUGCAAGUUACAGCAAGGUCAGAUUUUUGAAACAAGCAAGGGGAAAAGCAGUCGUCAGGGUCUCACCAAACAUACCUUCGGUCUCCUCCUUUGCCUUCGUCAGCUUCUCCUGAACCAGCUUCAAGCUCAGCUCGAGUUGAGUGUGCUUGUUUUCCAGCUCAGAGUAGCGAGCCACAAGAUCACAAGAGUUCUGCGAAGAACCAAUCGACUAAAUGUCAAAUAUAAUUCACUUCCGAGUGAAAAAGAAGAAAAACACACGUUUCUAAGACUACAGCCGAAUACAAGCAUUCGACCGUAGUCUCGGGGACUACACCCAGUGGGUGCACUCAGCGUGCCCCACUAAUUCUGUUGAAGACAAAGUCGACCAGUCGACCUCAAAAAAAAAGAGAGAUGUAUUCUUUAAGACUGUGAUCAACUGCAAGCAGUCGACCACAGUCUCGGGGACUACACCCAGUGGGUGCACUCAGCGUGCCCCCACCGGUUUGUGAAAUCCAGUCGACAUAGUCGACUGACAGAAAGAUUGACAUCAUAAAGCCUAAGGCCGACUGCCAGCAGUCGACCUUAGUCUCGGGGACUACACCCAGUGGGUGCACUCAGCGUGCCCCCACCGGUUUGUGAAAUCCAGUCGACAUAGUCGACUGACAGAAAGAUUGACAUCAUAAAGCCUAAGGCCAACUGCCAGCAGUCGACCUUAGUCUCGGGGACUACACCCAGUGGGUGCACUCAGCGUGCCCCCACCGGUUUGUGAAAUCCAGUCGACAUAGUCGACUGACAGAAAGAUUGACAUCAUAAAGCCUAAGGCCGACUGCCAGCAGUCGACCUUAGCCUUGGGGACUACACCCAGCGGGUGCACUCAGCGUGCCCCCGCUAACACGGAGUUUAAUCGACACACCCAGUGGGUGACUACUAUAAAUUCCGGAAAGGAAAAGUUUUUGGUUGCAUAUCCAACAGAACAAACAGUGGUCGACUGACCUGAACAUUGCUUUGGAGGGCAGAACUGGCGUCAUAAGCUGCCUGGCUUGCAUCCCGGAUGGUCUUUAACUGCUCCAUCAUGAUUCCCGCCUGGCGUAUCGCUUCCUUCGCCGCGCCAUCUUGGUCCUCUGGGACGUGGUGCAUCGUGAAGAGGGAGGGCUGCUGAGCACUCGUCAAUGGAUCUGCGAAGGACACCGUGUGUCGAGUGGUGUUCUCUUCCUCCGCAAUCAGAAUCUCAGGCGCCGUCACAUCCUGGGGCACCUUACUGGCGGACGCUUUCCUACUUCUCCUGCGCUUCAGUGGUUCUUCAUCCUCAUCAUCAUCAGGAAGAUUGAUAACAGCAGUGGGUGGAGCUACAAAGAAGAAUCAGGAUCAGAGAUCGCGAGUCAGUCGACUAAGAACGGCGUUAAGAAUACAGUACCUGGUUUCGAAGUUGCUGCGUCCUCCAUCUCAUGGUCAUCAGCCCGGGCUGAGGUUUCAGAAGUAGCAGCACUGCAACUCCAAAGGAUCAGUCGACUAACUUCAGCGUCGACCAGAGACAAAGUUCACACAAAAUAAGAAGAUUCAAACAGCACGAUUACCCUGAUAUGGUAGGGAUGGACACCUUCAUCUUCGGUAGGAGCUUAAUCGUCUUCGACGGGGCCGCCCUGGGCUGCUUCGGCGCCUUUUCAGUCGGCACCGGAGAGGUGGUUCGAGGGCGCUUAGUCGACUGAACAACGGUCGCAACCCCCUUGCCACGUUCAGUCGAAGGGUCGUGGACAAGCUUCGACGGCCUUUCUGAGCGCGGUGGUACGACCUCCUCCUCCUCUUCUUCCUCAUUCUCAACGUCAUCUUCAUCACCGUCAUCAUCAUCAUCGUCGUCAUCAUCCUCUGCAACGUCCGAGUCCCAUUCCUCCUCUUCCUGGCUCUCGCCCCCACUCGCCUCACCCUCCUCAGUCGGAGCUUGUGCCUCAUUGGGCAUCGAGUACAGUUCGGUGAGAGCCUAGCAGAUAUCAAGACAAGGAUCAGUCGACCAGUCGGCAGGAUAAACAGAAAUGAAUGCGACAAGAACACAGUGGGGAGCAGAGCAAAUGUACCUUGUUUGGAUCGCUGUUGUGGUCGAGUGGAGGAAUCCUUCUGGCUCCGCGUGGGUUGUCCUUGUUUCCGGUAACGGCUACCAUCCAUCUUUCCAGAGUGACAUCGUCGACUGCUUCUGGAUGGACUCGAGUCUCGUCUUCAGUCCCACAGUACAACCACAUGCAGUGGCUCCGGAACUGAAGGGGCUGGAUGCGACGCCUGAGGAAGACCUCCAGGAGGUCCAUGCCCGUCACUCCCUCCCGAACCAACUGCACCACGCGCUCCAUCAACAUCUUCACGUCAGCUUUCUCCUCCGGAAUCAACUUCAGAGAGGAGGGCUUGUUCACUCGGUCCAUGGUAAACUGUGGGAGUCCACUCGACUGCCCCGGUGUCGACUGGUCCUGGCAGUAGAACCAGGUCGACUGCCAGCCUCUGACUAACUCGGGAAAGGUCAUGGGCGGGAAGGUGCUCUUAUUCCUCACCUGGAUGCCCAGACCCCCACACAUUUGGACAACUCGGGUCCUUUCAUCGCCUGGGCUCGCCUUCUUCACGGUCUGAGAGCGACACGUGAAUAUAUGCUUGAACAAACCCCAGUGCGGUCGACAGCCCAGGAAACCUUCACACAUGGACACGAAUGCGGCAAGAUAGUCGAUAGAAUUUGGGGUAAAGUGGUGGAGCUGCGCUCCAAAGAAGUUCAAGAAGCCACAGAAGAAAAUACUCGGCGGCAAAGAAAAUCCACGAUCAACAUGGAUGGCCAAGAGCACACACUCACCCUCUUCUGGCUGGGGCUGCCACUCCUUCCCUGGAAGCCUCGCAGCUCCAUGAGGGAUCAAGCCCUCGUUGGCCAUGUCGAGGAGGUCUUUUUCUGUGAUGGUCGACUGGAUCCAGUCUCCUUGGACCCAGCCGUUCGGCAGGCGGGAUCUGGACGAAGACCCGCCGCGGCUGGUAGAUCUCCCCUUCGCCUUCUCCGACGCCGACGCCUUCUUCGCACGUUCCAGCGCCGCCGUCUUCUCCUUGGCCAUGGUUGCCGGCGAGAUGCACGUGGGGAAGUUGUGCGGGGGCGAGAGCGAGCGCGCUGGACGGGGACGAAGGGAGCAGAGAGAGAGAGAAUGCUGAGGCACAGUACAGAAAUCCUCGCCGGGCGCAUUUAUAAGGUCCCUUCCGAGUGGAUGACAGGUGGGCCCGGUCGAUCUAAUCAUAUCCAGGAACAGUUAUGCAGAUGGGAUACGUGGCGAAGAAAGCGGCGCGGAGAUCGAGGCGUCUAUGUCCCGUCCCAUCCGAACGCCGCGGUCCGCUCCGCUUCGCGCGCGUCCCCAAAUUUCGCAUCCCGCGGAAUCCGCGAACAGCAGAUCAGUCUGUCAGACAUGGGGUUUCCUGCGAUCCGUCGCUCGGAGAUCGUCGAAGCCCGAAAGAUCACUCGACGAAAGAAGAGAAUGGAUCGAGUCGACUGAAGACAAGUUGCUCACUGUCGACGAAGAGAUUCUUUGGUCCAGAACAGCGCACGACCAGAGCGCAAAGGUUAAUCGGAAACGACAUCAACUCCUUCCUCACUCGAAGCCUCAAUCCAUUCGGGGGCUAAUGAUGGGGUUAUGUACCUAGGGUAGGGUCAUGGACCUGAUCUAAAUACCUUACCCAAGGACAUCCUUAGAAGAGGUCCCCUUCCAGUCGACCAACGAAGGACUCACUCGACUGACUUGAAGGACUCGACCACGAAGACUCACUCGACCACCAGGAGGUCAAGAGGCACUCUGCACUGCAACGGCCUGUAAUAAAGUAGGCUUUAUUACAGUAAAGACACUUUAUGUGGGGCGUUACCAGUAACGCCCCAGACUUAACUCACCUUAAACCCUCUCCUACGUGGGCUGGCUGGGGUCCUGGCGCACUCUAUAUAAGCCACCCCCCUCCACAGGAAGAAGGGUUCGGCACCUUGUAACUCAUAUACUCUUAAUCCACUCGACCGCCUCCGGGCUCCGAGACGUAGGGCUAUUACUUCUUCCGAGAAGGGCCUGAACUCGUACAUCCCUUGUGUUUACAACCUCUCCAUAGCUAGGACCUUGCCUCUCCAUACCUACCCCCACUCUACUGUCAGGCUUAGAACCACGACACCUCCCCCUCCGGAUCCGCCGUGCCCUCGCCUACCUCGCGGUCGCCAUCGUCGGCCUCUGUGUUUUGGCCAGCUUGGUCCUCCCCGCCGACACAAGACUCCUCAUCUUCUUGAUCGGCUACUCGGCGAUAAUCUUCACCCUGGGGGUGGGCGACCUCCUCAGCUUCCUGGCCCUCCUCCUGGAAGGUGAGGAGGAGUAGCUGCUGAUCGGCAAGCCGCGAGCUCCAUGUCCAUGGAUCAGCUCAUGAGAUACCCACGCACGUGACAGCUGAUGAGUAGUUGUACGUGGUAGUAACUUGAUCAUAGAUCUCGUACCACUUAACCUGCCUAGUAUUGGACCUUAAUUUGAUGUGGAGUUAAUUAGCCUGUUAUUUGUGUAAUGUGGAGCUUGCCUGAAUUAGUAUUGAUGAACAGGCUAUACAAUUAUAUGGAGUACGUCUUAAUUUGAUGUAGUAUUAGUUGGACCUUUUCUCUGUAUGCAUGCCUAGCUUGGGUAUAUAUAAUUGAUGUUGGUGAAAUCGUUACC